Antechinus flavipes (yellow-footed antechinus) is the source of this 54051-nucleotide long non-coding RNA. RefSeq lists it as uncharacterized. NCBI's taxonomy places the organism in Eukaryota, Metazoa, Chordata, Mammalia, Dasyuromorphia, Dasyuridae. The transcript is spliced from 12 exons. The record is from RefSeq and is a predicted model, not a curated record.
CAGUUUUGUCCACGGCCUUAUUGCUGUGAAAUUGGAAGGUGGGUGGGUAAAGUAAGCUUUGCCAAGAAAGCCGGAAGCUAAUCAGGUCUCACAGGCAGCUUUAUGCUAGGCCUAGCGGUGUUGGCCGAGGAGGGGAAAGUGGAAUAGAGGAAGGAAAGUGCGUCAUAGGAUUCUGGGCCUGUCAGUUGUUUUUUUUUUUUUUUUUUCCUUUUCCCCAGACGUGUAGCCGGUGUUUGCCGCGGAAGUGGAAGAAGAGCAAGGGAAGGAAAGUGCAUCAUUAGGAUUCGGGGCCUUUCAGUUUUGUGCUAGAGCUAGCCGGUGUUGGCCGAGGAGGGGAAAGGGGAGCAGAGGAAGGAAAGUGCGUCAUAGGAUUCUGGGCCUGUCAGUUUUUUUCCCCAGACGUGUAGCCUGUGUUGGCCGCGGAAGUGGAAGAAGAGCAAUGGAAGGAAAGUGCGUCAUAGAAUUCGGGAACAGUUUUUUUUUUUUUUUUUAAACCCAGACUUAGCCGUUGUUGGCCGCGGAGGGGAAAGGAGAGCAAGCGAAAGAAAAUGCGUCAUAGGAUCCGGGGUCUGUCAGAUCCCAGAAAUAGCUUUAUUCCAGGCCUAUUUAAUAUUCAUUGCGGAGGUAAAAGGAAGGAAAGAAAAUUCUUUGGAGACUCCGAGGCCUCUCAAAUCCUAAGAGGCAGCUUUAGUCUAGGUCUAUUUUAAUGUUCGUUGCGGACUUGGAAGGUGGCGGAGCGGGGGGUUGGGGGAGGGAGGAGGAAGGAGGGAGGGAAGAGAGGAAGAAAAUGCGUCAUAGAAUCCUGAGCCUGUCAAGUCCUUCAGGUAGCUUUGUUCUAGUCCUUGACAGUGUUUGCUGCGAAGGUGGAAGGAGGGAGGGGAAAGAAUUUACGUCAGAGAAUCCAGAAUCAAUCAUGUUUCAGAGACAGUUUUGUCCUCGCCCUAGCCAGUGUUUGCCGCAGAGGGGGAGGGAGAGGGGGAAGAGUGGCAGCUUUAUUCUAAACCUUGUCUGUGUUUGCAGCGAAGUUGCGAAAGGGUGAAGGAAGUUACGUCAUAGAAUCCGGGGCCAAUCUGAACGCGGGAGGGGCAGAGUCUUCAGCCUAUACAGUAUUUGUUGCGGAGCUUGGAGAGGGGGGCGGGGAAAUUAUGUCAUAGAAUCCAAGACCAAUCAGGUCGUAGGAGCCUCCGAGUCCUUGGCCUAUCUCCUAUAUUACCUGCAAAGGUGGAAGAGAGCUAACGGGGAAGGUGAGGCCGAGACAAAAGCCAAUCAGAACCUAGAGUCAGUUUUGUCGUCUUUGAGCACAGGGGGUGAUGCUCUGAAUUAAAACUCAGUUCCAGAACCACACAGCCAAAGAGGAAAGAUGAAAAUGCACUGUCAUAUGUUGGGGGGAAAAAAAGGUAAUUAUUUGCAUGGCCCUGAUCAGGUAAGAUUUAAUUAAUAAUUAAUUUCUGUUUAUUGGGGGGGAGGGUCAUAUUAAAGUAUAUAUGAGGUUUAAAAGAAAUAUCAUUUGUGCUUUUAGCAAUCUAAAGGGAUUACUAAGAAAAAUAUAUAGUGCUAUAAAAUAAAAAUAAAUAGAUUAAAAAGUACAAACAUCCUAGCAAAUUAAAGUUGAGUGGGACCUCUGACAAAUCCUUAGAACAUAGCAUAUCAGAGCUGGAAGGUGUUUUUUGAGUAGUGAAUGUUAGAGUGUGAAGAGAAAAAUUUAGAAUAUAGUAUUUCAGAGCUGAAAAGGCAAUUGAGGCUCUUAAAAUGUCAGAAUUGGGAAUGAACAUAGAAACCAGAAUACAAGAUCCAGUUGGACUCUUAUAACCUAAAAUUUCUGAGGUGGUAGAUGUUUAGAAUCUAGAGUGUCAGCCCUGAAAGGAUCUUGAGAACAAGAAGAAUUGGAAAUAGGAAGAAAAUUAAAACUCAGAAAGUAGGAGAUCAUAACUGAGAAGCCAGGAUGACAGAGCUGGUGGGACCUUCAAAUAUCAAUGAAUGUCAGAACUAAGGGUGUCCUUCAAACCAUUUAAUAUCAGAGCUUUAAAUAAGUCAGAAGGACCUUCGGGAUACACAGUAUAAUUUUGCUUAGCAAGUUAUUGAAAGGGAUAGGUUCCUUUAAAAAUACUAAUGUACAUUUUUUGAUAUGCAAAAUUUAUUUCACUUAGUUAUACCAGCCCAGUUUUGAUAUUCUGAAUUCAAAGGCAGCUCUUAAACUUGAAGAAAGGUGUAUAAAAGUCUAGUGCUUUCUCUAAAUACCAAAAAAAAAAAAAUUUCCCUAGCUUAGCCUUGAUCAGUUAACACUUUUAAUGAUAUUAAUGCUAUUGAUAAUGAAUUGUUUAUAUUUAUUUUAAAAUAUAAAGAAUUAAUGUUUGAAAGGGUCAUCAUUUGUGCUGGAUUGUUAAGAAAAAUCUACACUGUCAUAGAAAAGAAAAAAAAACAGAGCUUGGUGAGGCUUUUAAACAUAGAAUUUGAAGAAUGGAAGUACCUUUCAGAGUAAAACAGUGCAGGUGAGAAAACGCUUUACAAUAGAAAAUCUCAGAGUUGGGCUAAAUUGAGAGUGAAUAGAAGCCAGAAUAUUAGACUUGGGAGGGGACUUAGAACAUGGAAUAUACAUGUUCCUUCUGUAGUUGGGAGAUAUCUUGGCAUCUAAAAUGACUAAGCUGAAAGGGGUUCUAGACAAGGGAAUGUCAGAAGUAGGUAUGACUUUAUGUUACAGAAAGUAGGGAGAUGGUCAUAGUUUAAUUACAAAAAUUAUCAGAGCCAGUGGGACUAUAGAACAUAAAAUUUCUGACCUAGGAGACAUCAAUUUAGAGGAACCUUAUAAGAAAGGAAGGGGAAGCUAAUCAGAGAAUCAUCAGAACUAUCAGAGCCCAUAACCCAUUAAGAGAUAGAAUGAUAGGCCUGGGGCUAGCCCUUGAGAGGAGAAUCUCAGAGGUGGUAGGACACUUAGAAUACACAGUAUCAUUAGCUGGACUAAAGAUUAUUUUAUUUGCUUCAUUGAGUGAAUUAUUGGAAAUGAUUAGUUAAUUUAAAAAAAGAAUUACAAAGCAUAUUUGUUGGGUGUGAUGUAACAUUUCAACAUAAUUUAUGUCAGUAUAGUUUUUAUGCUCUGAAUCAAAAGCCAGAUCUUGAAUCACAGAGAUUCAAGAGACCAAGAACAGUAAUAAAUACGGUUCUUUAUCUCACUGCCAAAAACAAUAAUUCCCUCUGUGACCUUGAUCAGAUAAGGCUACCAUUGAAGGAAAUAAAGAAUAAAAAUCUUCAAAAUUCAUAUUUUUAAAUCAUGAUAAUUCUAAGACACAUAUGCAUUGUGAUAAAAUCAAAAUGAAUAAAUAAAUAUCAAGGGUAAAAAAAAAAUCCCUAAUAGAUCCAAGCUGGGUAAAGUCCCAGGGAGGUUCUUUUGAAGGGCGCUGUAUGGGAAAAUAGUGGAAGAAUGCUUAGAAUACAAAAUUUUAGAACUGAGAAAAUAGUUGAGACACUGUCAAAAAUGUGAGUGACUAUAAAAAACAGAAUAUCAAACGUGACUCUAUUCUUGGAAAGUAGAAUUUUUGAGUCUGGAGGCAUCUUAGAAUCAAGGAUACUUGAUUUUAACUGAAAAGAUCUUGAGAACAGGAAAUAUCAGAAAUAGAAAGGAGCUAUAAAACUAAUCAAACAGAAGACAGUAAGAGCCUGAGAACCCAGAUUGAUAGAAUCUUAGAAAAAAUAUUAGAACAGUGAGAGGCCUUUGAACACAGAAAGUUGUAUCACAGACUAUUAGAGCAGGGAAGGCCCUUAUAACUGACUUGUCAGAGUUAAGAAGGUAUUGAGAACAGGAAAUAUAACUAGAAGAAAGGGUUUUAGUGUGGUGUUUAGUUUUGUUUUUGCUUUUUGCUUUUUACUGUGCUUACUGAGAGGCAAGGUGUUAGGAAUGACAGUACCAAAUGAUUUAUUUGGUAUGAGGUGAAAUAUUUAUUUCAUUAGAAUUUAUAGCAACAUAGUGAUAUUCUGAAUUAAAACAUGUUCCAAAUCAUGUAGCCAAAGGGCAGAAGUAACUUUCUUUGGCUUCCCAUCAAACCGAAAAUGAAUAAAUAAAAACAUAAUUCCAUGCGGUGACUUCACCUGGAAAAACUCCUAUUGCUUUUUUUUUUUAGAUUUUUAAGUACACAGGAUUUUAAAUCACUGUAUUGCUAAGACAUAUAUAAUUUAAUAAAAAUUAAAAUGAAUAUGUAAAUUAAAGGUAAAGAAGAAGCCUAGAAUAUUAAAAGAGUGAGGAGGGGCUUAAGACAACAAGGCUGAGAUUCUUUAGAUUCAGAACAUGAAAUAUCUCACUUGGAGAUAUGCCUCUUAAGAGAAUACACCAGAAAUUUGCUAUAGUUUAAAAUAACAAAUUUUGGAGAUGGGGUGACCUAAGAAUCACAGAAUGUCUGAGUGGGGAAGACUCUCAAAACAUAGAUUGUGAGGGCUGGGAAGGGCCUUCCAUUGCAUAAUAUCAUAGCAAGGAAGAAGCUUUUUAAAAUAUGUUCAUGGGUCAAUGUAUUGGGAAAGAAAGUGAGCAAAGGUGUUGGGUGGAAUAGGUAAAUAAAAAAAAAAACUGGUAACAAUGUAUAUUUAUACUAUUAACAUAUGUUUCAAUAUAAUUUAAUUCUGCACAAUUUUGACAUUCUGAAUUAAAAGUUAGGUCCUGAACUUCGUCGCCAAAGUGGAAAGGUGAACAUACAGUUGUAUUGUUUGGACCCCCCCCAAAAAAAACCAAAUUAUAAGCGUGGAUCAGGUAAGAUUGUUAUGGAUAUUAAUAUUGUGUGAUGCCGUUCAUAGAAUACUGGACCUGCAAUCAGGAAGACCUAAGCUCAAAUUUGACCUCAGACACUUACUUUGCUGUGUGACCCAGGACAUGAUUUGGUUGCAUUCUUUUGAAAAAUAUAAAUUGUUAAAUAUAUGAGAUUUUAUUAAAAAGGACAUCAUUUGUGUUUUUAAAUCACUGUAUUGCUUAAAUAUAUGCAAUGUAAUAAAGAUGAAAAAAUAAUGUAAAAAGAGAACUCUAUGUUAUCAGAGAAGGAACAGGAUCAUGAGGUUCUUUAGAAUAUGGAAUGUCUGACUUGGAGGUGCCUUUCAAGACAAUACACUGAAGGCUGGAUAUAACUUAGAAUGGUGGAUUUCAGAGGUGGAAAUGAUUUAAUCACAGAAUGUCAGAGUGAGGAGAGCCCUUAAAACUGAUUGUCAGAGCUGGGAAGACUGGGAAGAAGUUUUUUUGAUGUGUUCAGAGGACCCCAAGUAUUGGAAGGGACAGAUAAAUUUUUAAAGAUAAUAUGUGGUAUGUGUAUGAGAUAACAUUUAUUUUGAUAUAAUUUAUUUCUGCGUAAUUUUGAUGCUCUGAAUGAAAAGUCAGGUCCUGAACAACACUGCCAAAAUGGAAAGGCAAACAUAAUGCCUUAAUUGGAUACCAAAAAAAAUUCUAAGUAUGGAUCAGGUAAGAUUGCUCUGGAUGUUAAUGUUACAUACUGCAGUGUAUAGGGAGCUUGACCUGGAAUCAGGAAGGCUUAAAUUCAAAUGUGGCCUUAGACAAUUACUUGCUGUGUGACCCAGGACAUGAAUUAGUUUUAUUGAAUAAUGUAAAGUCUUAAGUUCACAAGACUUAAAAGGACACCACUUGUGCUUUAACAUCAUUGUAAACAUAUUCAAUAUCAUAAAAUAAAUAGGCAAAGGAGAAGAAAAGUAGUCCUAGAAGGUCGGAGUUUGGGUCAUAGUCCAGAAUACUGUGGAAGGAGUAAGGGACAGGUAGAAUUUUGAAGGUGAGAGAUAGUUUUAGCUAACAAUUUCACAGAUGGGAGUUUACGCUACAACCUAAUUUGCAUGAUCAAAUUGAGAUUGGACACAGAUGCUAGGAUAUCAAACCUAGGAAGGGACUAAAACAUGAUGGAACAUGAUGGAAGCAUCUUAGCAUCCAGAAACCUGGAAUAUCCCAGUUUGGAGGGAUUUUCUAACAUAGGAAGCCUGUAAGAUCUUAGGACAUAGAAUAUAUGAUCUGGAAAUAGCACUAAAGAGGAGAAUCUCAGUGCUGAAGGGGGACUUAAAACACACAGUCUCAAAAGGUUGAGUACAGUGGGUUUUUUAUUUGCUCAGUGCUAAAUCAUUGGGGGGGAAUGAUUAAUUUAGAAAGAACAACAACAAAGCUUAUUUAUGAUAUGUAUGUGAUCUAUCAUGCAUUUCAACAUAAUUUAAGUCAGCACAGUUUUGGUGCUCUGAAUAAAAGUCAGGGCUUGAACCACAGACACAAAGAAGAAUAGUAACAAUAUUUUGCUAUAUCUGGCUGCCAAAAAAAAGUAAUUCUCUAUAUGACCUUGUUCAGGUAAGAGUGCUAUUGAUACCAGUGUUACUGGAAAUGAAUUGGUUGAAUUUAUUGAAGGAAAUAAAGUUUUAAAUAUUCAAGAUUCAAAAAGGGACCCAAGUUGUGUUUUUAAAUUGUUACAUGGAAAGAACAAAAAGUCUUGAAGAUCAGAGUUGGGUGGAGCAGUGAAACUUAGACUGUUAGUGCAAGAAGGUCCUUAGAGCAUGGAAUGUCUGUACUAGAUGUGCCUUUUGAAGGGUGAAUGUUAGAGCAGAAGAGCAGUCUGGAUACUGAAUAUCAGAACUUUGGCCACAGAAGUCAAAAUAUCUGAACUGGGAGGGCACUUAGAAUAUAAAAGGUCUGAGCCUGGAAACCUCCUAUAAUUAAGAAACUGAAAGGAUCUUAAGAAGAGGGUAGAUUUUAAAGGUGGAAGGGAUCAUGCAGUAGGAAAUGAAGAGCAGGUGAGAAUCCAGAAUGUCAAAGCUAGUAGGACCUUAGAACAUGAAUCCCAUAGCUUGGUAGGCCCUUUCACAAAAGGAUACCAGAAUUAAGGAGGUCUUGAAACACGGGAUGACAAGGUUAGAGUGAGGCUCAAAAAUUAUUUCUGUGCACUGCUUUGAUUGGGUAAGAAUGAAAUUGAUAAUAAUGUUGUUGACAAUAAUUGGUUGUUUUUAUUGAAAACAUAAAGUAUGAAGUAAGCAGUAUUUAAAAGCACCACUGUUUGUGCUUUUAAAUCACUGUAUGGCCAAAGAACAUAUGCAGUGUCAAAAAAAAGGAAAAGAAAAACCCCUAAGAGGUCAGAGAGGCCUCAGAAUAUAGAAUGUCCAGUUUGGGAGGUUCUUAGAGAAUAUAAAAGCAUUUGACUAAAGUUAAAAUUUGAAAAUUCAGUUAUUUUAUUAGGCUAAAUAAAAAGGACUAGUUCAUGCAGUAUUUUAAUUACAUAAAGACUGCUGGUGUCAUUAAAAGGUGUUUGGUAAUGAAUAUAGAGUUUCUUCAAAAAGAUGUUAAUUGCACAAGAUCUAAAAGACAUUUUGUGUGCUUUUGAAUCAUAUUACUGAGAUCCAUGUGCAGCAUAGGUAUAAAAAAAGGAAAAAAAAUCUCCAACGUCAGAUCCAGAUGAGACCAAGGAUUAUUAAAACACAGAACGUGUGGAUGUCCUAGGUAUCUUUCAAGAGAGUAUCUUGGAAGUAGGAGAGUUUAGAAUACAGAGUUUCAGAGUUCGGACAGUCAAAACUGAGAAUUGACAUAGAAGAAUGACUAUCAGAUCUGGGAGGAAACUUAGAACACAGUGUUUGUGAGCAAAGCAACAUCUUAGAAUCAAGAAUGCCUAAGCUGGAUGGGUCUCUAGAACAUGGAAUAUCAGAUGUAGAAAGGACCUUAUAAUACAUAAAAGUGGGAGAUGUUCAGGACCAGAGAUAAAAUUGUCAAGCGCUUGGCAUAUCUUAGCACGCAAUGCCAAGUCUGGGAGUAAACACAAAAGAGAUCACAGAGGUAGGAGAACCCUUCCAAGACAGAACAUUAGAACUAGGAGUGGCCAUAAACCAGAAGGUUUCAGGGAUAGGAUUGCUCUUAAUGCUUAAAAUCCAGAGGUAAGUAGGAUCUUCAAAACAUACAAUAGCAAAGGUGAGAAGGCAUUAUGUUUUGUUUUGUUCUAAUCUCAUUGAACCAAGGUAUAGUCAGGUGGGUUUUUAAAAAAAGCAGUGAUAGAAUGAUAAGAAAUAUUGAUGUCAAUAAAAUUUAUAUCAGUAAAGAAUGAUGAUGUUCCAAAUUAAAAUUCAGGCCACAAAAUUAAAGGAGAAAAAUAUAAUGCCUUAGUUGUAUUCUUCCCCGCCCCUGCCAACACACACAUGAAAUGAUUCCACGCAAUGCCUUAACAGACUUAGAACACAAAUUAUCAAAGCUAGAAGAGGCCCUAAAAUGCUAUUAUAGCUGGGAACAACUUUUGUUUGUAUUACAUCAUCUAAGAUAAUUGGGAAGGAACAGGUUAAUUAAAAAUUAAUAAAGUCCAUUCUUGGCAUAGUAUACAACAUUUAUUUCAAUAUAAUUUAUAUCAGAAUAGUUAUAAUGUUUUGAAUUAAAAGAGGUUGGACCAUGCUAAAAGGAAAAAUAAAAUGAAAAGCCUUAUCUGGCUACCAGGGAAAAAUAGUGUCAUGUGGAUUCUUGAUUAGAUAAGACUGUUCUUGAGAGAAAUAGUUAUUUGUACUUAAUUGACUAUAUUUAUUGAAGAAAUAAAAUGUUAAGCAAGGGUGUAUUUAUGCAUGUUUAACAGUAGACUGGGGGGGGGGUUGACACAUGACACAUUUAAUCUGCUUUAAUAGCAUUUUUUUCUAUCACUUUAAAUCUAGACAAUAAACAAAAUAAAUGAAGCUUUAAUUUUUAGCUUUUAUCAGUUUCCAAGAUGUAAAUGAUUACAGUAAAGAUUUUAAUAUUAGGCUUUCACAAUCCAGGACAGGCUGGCUAGAGCAAAUCACUAUUAAGUACACAAAAUUUAAAAGGAACAUGCUUUUUUAUAUUACUGGAUGACUGUGAACCAUAUUUAAUGUCACAAAAUAAACAGAAAAUAUCCCAGCUUCAUGGGGCCUUAGAAGAUGAGAAUUGGGAGGUGUCUUUGAAGAAUAUAGAAUUUCAAAGGGGAACUUAGGAAUGUAUGAACUAGGAAGCAUCUUCUAGUACAGCAUGACUAAGUUGAAAUUGUCAGUAGAACAGGGAUUAUUAGAAGGUAGGAAGAUCUUCCUCUGGUUACAGAAAUUGUUAGAGCUUAUAGGACCUUAGGAGACAAUAGCAUAUCUAUUGUCUUUUAGCAACAAAAAUGGGCUGAUGGAACCCUUAACCCUAUGGUUUGGAGGCACCUUAUAACUCAGGAAAUGUGAGAUGGUCACUCUGAGAAUCUAAACUGUCAGAGCCCAUGAGACCUUUGAACAAAGAAUUUUUAAGCAAGGAAAAAACUCUGGAGAAGGGAGUGUCUCGGUGUUGAGGCCACAUUUAAAACAAGAGACAAUAAGUCUAAGGGAGCCCUCAGAACACAGAAUAUUAGAGAUUGGAAUAACUUUAAAAUCUCACAGUGUGAGAGCUGGGAGGGCUCUGGGGCAGAAUGGUUUUGUUUAAUUCAUAGACCAAAGUACUGGGUGGGGCAAGUUAUUUCUUUAAUAUUAAAUAUUUAAUAUAAUUUAUGUCAGCACUAUUGCACCAUCUUAAACUGAAUUACAAAUCUGAUCCUGAACCAUAAUGACAAAGGAAAAGGUGAUAUAUGCAGUCUUAACUGAAUACCCAAAGAAAACUAACUGCAGUGCCUUUUAACUGUAACACUGCCAUUAAUAGGCUUAUUAAUGAGUUGGCUGUAUUGAGGGAAAAAAAUUGAGUAUAAACAAGAUUCAAGGGGAGCUUCAUUUGUGUUUUAAAUAAUUGGAUUGUUAAAUUACAUGGAGUGUAAUAAAAUUUUUAAAUUUAAAGGGAAAAAUAAGAUUGGAGCAGAGACAAGUUUAUUGAAUACAGGGAGAAUGUUGAAGUGGGAGAGCACUUAGAAUAUAGACUUUCAUAUAUGUAAAAAUCCAGACAUUAAAUAGAACUAGGAAUGGGCAAAGAAGUCAGAAUCUCAGAAUCGGUAGAAUACAAUGUCCAAGGUAUCCUGGCAUCUAGAAUGCCUUAGUUGGAAGGAACUCCACCUCGAUGGUAGAAGUGUGGAGGUACCUUAAAGCUCAAAAAACAGAUGUUGAAAAAAGAGUAUCCAGAAUCUUGCUUUCAGUGGACCAAGUGGGACCUAGAAUUCAGAACAUCAGGUCUGGGCAUAGCUUUAAAUAGGUUAAUAUCAGAGCUGAGGAUACUUUGAGCAGGAGUUAACAUUUAAAGUAGCCUUAAAAGCACAGGUUGUCAAGAGUUAGGAAAGCCCUUAGAAUGUAGUCAGAGCUGAAAGGGACUUUAUAAGUCAGUGCCAUGGCUGAGAAGGAGUUAUGGGGUUUUUAAAUAUAUGAUAUAGAUAGGCUUAUUAGUAUAAUUUUUAUCAGCAUAGUUUUGAUGCUGAGUUAAAACUUGCGUUCUGUAAUCAUAUAAAGAGGAGAGGUAAAAAUAAAGAGCUUCAUUCAGACCAAACAAAAUUCUGUUUACUUCCUUGAUGAGGUAAGGCAGCUGUUGAUCUUUCAUUUUAUUAAUAAUAAAUUUGCCAUAUCUACUGGAAAAAAUACAAAAUUUAUCAGGGCUACCACUAUUUGUGCUUUUAAGUCAUUACAGCAUUAUUUUUUAAAAUGCAAAGAACAAAAGCUUCAUUUGGAAAAUGCUGGCUCUUAGGAGAAAAUAUUCAGAUCUAGAAUUGCAUUCCAGAAUGUGAGUGAGCCACCCGAUCCAGAAUAUCAGAAUUGAGAAUAUUUAGAACAGAAUUUAGCUGAGAGGCAUCGAGGAAUUAAGAUUGCAUGACCUGGAAGGAGCUGCUUUAGCAAUGUCAGUGGGAGAAAGAAUGCAAAAAACAAAGGUAGAAAAGGUUAUAAAUUGUCAAAAUGCUUUGGAUCUUAACCUACAGAAUGUUCAAAUCAGAAGUCCUCUGAAACAACUAUGUCUGAACUAAAUGGAGCCCUAGAUAGCAAAGAUCUUGUGAGAUGGGAGAUGAUCAGAAUUAAAGAAUAAAUUAUCAGUGGGUUCUGGGUAAAUGGAGUGUCAGUCCUGGGAAUAGCCAUCAAAAAUAGAAUGUCAAAGGGGCACUUAGAAUAGGACUGUCAGAACUAGGAGAGCCCUUCCUACCCAAUUUUUGGAACAGGAAUGAUCUUAAAACCUCAAUGACAGUACUAAGACUUUUAGCAUAUAUCCUGUUAUCUGGGAAGUUUUUAUAAAUUUGCUCAGUGUGCUAAAGUAUGAGUAUUAUAUAAUUUUUAAAGGCAGUAUCAUACCAGCAAGGUGGUGAUGGUCUGAAUUCAAACUUGGGUGUUGAGUCAGUCAGAAAAUGAAGUACCUUAAAUUCAUACUGUGCCUUGUUGCAAAACAGUAGUAGUAGGGACUGUCACUGAUAUGAAGGGACCCUUUAAUAUAGCCAAUGAAAGAUGGCCAGAGUUGCAAGGAAGGAAACAAAUUGUUUAUUUUUUCGACUUGCUUUGUGCCAGGUACUGUGCAAGUAUUUAAUUUGAUCUAAUGCUUUAUUUAGAUCAUAUUUCUAUACUAAUCUAAAUUGUCCCCAUGGGACUUUGGCAUACAAAGUAUUCCACUCAGGCAUAUUUCUAGAGAGAAGAAUGUCAAGAACUGGGGGGUCACUUAGAACAAGGGGAUAUCAUAGAUAGGAGAUCUUAAAAAACAGUCAGCUCUAGGGAUGACCUUAAAACCACAGAAUAUGAGCUGAAUAGGCUUUUAUAACUGCUGGGAGGAGCCUGAGAAUACAAUAUUGUGGAUGGGAAGAAGUCUUUAAAAAAUUUGCUUAAUGGGCGUAGGUAGGUGGCACAGUGGAUAGAGCACCAGCCCUAAAGUCAGGAGGACUUGAGUUUGGCCUCAGAUACUUAACAUUUCCUUUAUGUGUGACCCUGGGCAAGUCACUCAACCCCAAUUGCCUCAGCAAAAGAAAAAAAAAAAUUGCUCAGUGGUCUAAAGCAGGGGUCCUCAAACUACGGCCACGGGCCAGAUGUAGCAGUUGAGGAUGUUUAUCCUGACCCAGGGCUAUGAAAUUUUUUUAUUUAAAGGCCCACAAAACAGAGUUUUUGUUUUGACUAUAGUCUGGCCUUCCAACAGUCUGAGGGACAGUGAACUGGCCCCCUAUUUAAAAAAAUUGAGGACCCCUGGCCUAAAGUAUUGCAAGGAAUUGUUUAAUUUUGUGACGAUAAAGUCAAUGGUGUGAUAUACAACAUUUCAGUAUAAUUUAUAUUGGUACAAUAUUCAUGCUACAAAUUAACAAUAAAUAUGAACCACAUAAGAAAGGAAAAAUAAAAGUAGUGCUAGUUAGUUAGUGCUAAGUUAGGAUUUAAAAGGAACAUCAUUUGCACUUUUAAGAUAUUAUAUUACUAAGAUAUUUAUGAAAUACAAGAAAAUAAAUAAUUCCUAGAAGACCUGAGCAGGUUGGGUCAUGAGACAGAGAAUGGGAAAUGCCUUUCAAAGAAGAAAGUUGAAGUUGGGAGAAAGUUUAUUAUACAGUAUGUGCCAGCUAGAAGGGCACUUAGAAUAUGGGAUAUCAGAAUUCUUAGAAUGAAGACUGUCAGAAGUAGGAGUGACCUAAAAAGCAUGGAAUGCAAGAGAUGGGAAGGGUAUUAGAACUCAGAUGUUCUGAGCUGGGAACACAUUGUGGUAUCUCUGCAACAUUUAUUUUUACGGAAUUUAUAUCAGUGCACUGGAGAUUCUUUGAAUCAAAACUUAGGUCCUUAACCACACUGCUAGAAAGGAAAAGAAGGUGUGUGGUACCUUUUCUGGCUCAAAACAAGCUCCAAAAAAGCAAUUUCUAGGAAGUGUCCUAAUUUGGGAAAACUGCUAAUGAUAUUACUAUUAUAGGUAAUAAAGAAGCAGUAUUUAUUAGUUUUUUUAAAAAGGUUUUAACUACAUAGGAUAUUAAAACUAUUUUAAAUCAAUUUAUUGCUAAGAAAUAUUCAGUAUAAAAAUGAUAGAAAAAAAUAGCCUACUACGUCAGAGCAAGAUUAGAACGUAGAAAAUAAGAUUGUCAAAAUGGGGAGGGUCCUUAGAUUAUCAGAACUGAGACAACUAGAUAGAAUUAGGAAGACCUGAGUUCAAAUACAGCCUCACAAACUUCCUAGCUUUACAAUCCUGGGCAAAGUCAAUAUCUGCCUCAGUUUCCUCAGUUUGAUUAACGAUAGCAGCUACCUGAUAGGAGUGUUGUAAGGAUCAAAUGGAGUAAAAUGAGAUAUGUCAAGCCCUUAACAAAAUGACUGGCAUAUAAAAGAUACUUAACAAAACUUCCCUUAGAAUCAAGAAUGACUGAGCUGAAAGGAACCUUUCAAGGGAGAAUGAGUGUUGGAAGGAGGAAAGAACUUAAAAUGUAGAAUUUCAGAGCUGAGAUUCCCAUCCAAGCACCUCAGUGUUAGAAUAGGAAUGAAUAAAGAAGCCAGAAUAUCAGAUCUGGGAGGGUACUUAAAAUAGGGAAUAUUUGAGCGAGGAGUUGUUUUAGAAUCAAUAAGUUGUGUGAUUAGCUAGAUCCCUACAGAGGUAAGAAGGCAAUUGUAACAUGAUGUAUGAGCUAAUUAGAGCCUGAGAACACACACCUUGAGUCUGGGGAGCUUGGAUCAUGGAAUUUAAGUCUUAGAGUUAGCCAGAAAGAAGGGAAUGUCAGACUGAUAGGUGCUUAGAACUAGAGAUAUCAGAGCUAGGAGAGCUAGACCACAGAACGGCAGAGCUGGAAUGGACCUUAGAAUGUAGAUCUUUAAACUUGUGGGGUUCUUCAGAGCAGUGACACCAAAUGCAAAAAUUAAUUUCUGCUGGCCACAUACUGACUUAGUGACAUUUGAAUCUGAUUGUGGCUCUAUGCUCAGGAAUUUACUGCCUUGAGUUUGACAUUUCUAUUUUAGAACACUUUCCACAGCUAGAAAUGGAGAGUUUUUUCGUUGAUUUUUUUUUUUUGGGGGGGGGGUCAGUAAGUGAAAAUAAUGCAAUAGUCAGGUUAAUUUGUAAAAUAAUUGAAAUGUAUGUGAUGCUUUAUGCAACUAAAUGUUUCAGCAUCAUAUCAACACAAGAUUGAUGCUCUGAAUUAGGAUCAGGUAUUGAACCACAGAGCCAAAAAAAAAAAAAAAAGUGAAAAUAUACUGCUUUAUAUGGCAAAAACAAAACACCUUACAAAAAAUCAUGCAAUGCUUGGAUCCAAUAAGAUUUUCUAUCGAUAUUAUUAUUAUUGAUGUUGACAAAGGGGAGUAUUUAUUGGAAAAAUACAUAAGACAUAAAAGGAACAUCAUUUGCCUUUUAAAUUAUUAUUUUAUUAAACAAUGUUAAUGUGUUAUGAUAGAAUAAAAUCAAAUAAAAGAAAAAAUUCUGGCAGAGCAGAGCUGGAUAGGGUAUCGAAGCAUAAAAGACCAGGAUCUACUUAGCACAUAGGAUGCCUGGACAAAGAGGUGUUUUUCAACAGAAAAUGUUGGAUUUGGUAGAUGAUUUAAAAUACAGAAUUUCAGAGCUGGGAGUUCUUUCUGGGUAUUGAGUAUCAGAAAGAAAGUUUGAAGUAAAGUCAAAAUAUCAGAGUUGGUAGCUCCCUUAGAACAAGCUCUAUGUUGUCUUAAAAUAGAAUAAUUCUGAGCUGGAUGAGGUCCAGAAUACUAGAAUAUAGGAAGUGAAUGAAGCGAGAGAGGUCUUAGAAGAAAAUGGGAGAUAGACUGAGCUGAUAGAACUGUGGCACACAGAUUGAAGCCUGGAAGUGGGCAUUGGUAGGAAGAUUUUAGAGUGCUGAGAGUUAAAGAUUCUUAGAUUUGUGAAUGGCAUUAAAACAGACAAUACAGAUCUGAGAAAGGUUUUUUGUGGUUUUGGUUUUUUAAUGUAUUCAGUGAGUCAAGGUAUUGGGAAGCAUAAGUAAAUCUAAAAACCAAAAAGCAUAUUUUGAUUUGUUAUAUAAAAUUUCCAUAUUGAAAUUCCAUACUUGAUGAGGUAUUCUGUAUUAAAACUCAGAUCCUAAACAACCAAAUGAGAUUGGGGAAAAUGUAGUACAUUAUUUGACCUCCUCCUUCCCCCCCCCAAAAAAAAAAAAAAGAUGAAAAAAGUAAUUCUAUGGCAUGCCUUGAUCUGGCAAGAUAUUACUGUUAUUAUUAAGAAGCAACAGAUCUUUUUUGGGGAAAAAGUAGGUGUUAAGUACUUGGGUUUUAAUAAGACACCAGUUGUGCAUUUUUAAUAUUGUAUUGCUAAGAAACAUACAGUACACCAAAAUAAGUAUUAAGAAAUGAAAAGAAAAACUCCCUAGAAUGUCAAAGCCGAGUAGAUUCUAGAUGUCUAGGCUGGAAGAGCUUGUCAAAGGAAAAAGUUGAAGGUGGGAGAGAACUUAGAAUGGAGAAUUUGAGAGCUAGAGAGCUAAAUUUGAGAGCCUCUUAAUGGCAGAUAUACUGUGAGCACACAGAGAAACUAGAAUAGCAGAAUUGGGAGAGUAUUUAGAAGGAAGCAUCUAUGAACUGAGAGGUAUGUUCAGAUCUUGUGCUUGAGCUGAAUGGGACCCUAGAAUAUCAGAGCCUGGGCAUUCAGGGACCUUAUAACAUUGACAGUGGACAGUGGUCAGAGCCUACAAAAACAUCAGAGCUGUUAGGACAUGUAGAACAGAGAAUAGCAAAAGAAGGAGGAGCCUUAAAAUAACAGAAUAUUAGUGAUGGAAUAAACCUUAGAAUAUAGAACUUCUGACCUGCGAGGGACUUUAAAAGAAGCAGUGGUAUAGCAGGGAAGAGUAUUUUUCUUAUUAAUGUGCUCAGUGAGUCAUUGUAUUGGCACCUGCAAGUAAAUUUAAAAAAAAAAAACAAUUAAAAAGUUUGUUUAUGGUAAAUAUUAAACAUUACUUUUCAUGUAAUUUAUUUCAGUGAGGUGGUGCAGCUCUGUAUUAAAACUCAGGGACCGAAUUAACAGCCAAAAGGGAUUGGUGAAAAUGUAGUGCCUUAUUCAGAUCCAUAAAAGAAAAAAAAAGGGCAAAAAAGUGAUUCCAUUCAGUGCCUUGAUCUGCUCAGUGGUGAACCUUUGAAUUAAAACUCAGGUAUUAAACCAAUACAGCCAAAGAGGAAAUCUGGGGAAUGCUGUGCCUUCUGUGGCUCUAAAAUAAGGAAAACCAGGCAAAAAAAUCCCAUUCAGUGCCUUGUUCUGUGGUCAUCCUUUGAAUUAUAAAACUCAGGUAUUAAACUAAUACAACUAAAGAGCAAAGAGGGAAAUGAUGUGCCUUCUGUAGCUCUAAAAUAAGGAAAACCAGGCAAAAAAUCCCAUGCAGUGCCUUGUUCUGCUCUGUGGUCAUCCUUUGAACUAAAGCUCAGGUACUUAACCAAUAUAUCCAAAGAAAAAAGGGGGAAAUACAGUGCCUUCUCAGGCUCCAUAAAGUGGAAAAAAACCGGGUAAAAUAUGCAGUGCCUUGAUUUGCUCAGUGGUGAACCUUUGAAUUAAAACUCAGGUAUUAAACCAAUACAGCCAAAGAGGAAAUCUGGGGAAUGCUGUGCCUUCUGUGGCUCUAAAAUAAGGAAAACCAGGCAAAAAAAUCCCAUUCAGUGCCUUGUUCUGUGGUGAUCCUUUGAAUUAUAAAACUCAGGUAUUAAACUAAUACAACUAAAGAGCAAAGAGGGAAAUGCAGUGCCUUCUCAGGCUCCAUAACUAGGAAACAAAACGGGUAUUAAAAUUAUUUCCAUACAGUGCCUUUUUUUGCUCAGUGGUGAACCUUUGAAUUAAACUCAGGUAUUAAACCAAUACAGCCAAAGAAGAAAGGGAAAAAAUUUAGUGCCUUCUCUGGCUCCAUAAACAGGAAACAAAACGGGUAUUAAAAUAUUUCCAUGCAGUGCCUUGAUUUGCUCAGUGGUGAACCUUUGAAUUAAAACUCAGGUAUUAAACCAAUACAACUAAAGAGCAAAGAGGGAAAUGCUGUGCCUUCUGUGGCUCUAAAAUAAGGAAAAAUCAGGCAAAAAAGUAAUCUCAUGCGGUACCGUUAUCUGCUCAGUGAUGAUCCUUUGAAUUAAAACUCAGGUACUAAACCAAUUCAGCCAAAGAGGAGAGGGGGAAAUGCAGUGCCUUCUCAGGCUCCAUAAAGAGGAAACAAAACGGGUAUUAAAAUUAUUUCCAUGCAGCGCUUAGAUUUGCACAGUGGUGCAGCUCUGUAUUAAAACUCAGGGACUGAACCAAUACAGCCAAAGGGGAUUGGUGAAAAUGAAGUGCCUUAUUUUGUUCCACAAAAAGAAAAAAAACGGGCAAAAAAGUAAUUGCAGAAGUGCCUUGUUCUGGCCAUCAAGGCAUGAAAACAGGAUAAUUGAAGCACUACUAAGAAAGGGUAGUUGUGGCUCAAAAUGCUACCUUUAUAACCAGAUAUUUUAUAUCAGGAGAGAGGAGAUUGUUGUACUUAAAAAACCCCAGGGUCCAAACUACCAGCCAAAGGUAUGUUUAUAAUCAAGUACCAUAUAUGGCUUGAGUAAGUAAAAACAGUCACCCUCAAAAAAAUAAUUCCUUUUAGUGCCCUGAUCAAUUGAGACUGCUACUGAUAUUCCUCUUAUUUGGAAUAAAUGGAGAAGAUUUAUUCCCUACUAUAACAUUUUAAGUACAAGUCAUGUCAAAGAAAAACCAUUUGUGUUGUCACUUUACAAGUAAGACUUAGGGGCAGAGCAAAACAUGAAAAAUAAAAGCACUAAAUGGAUAGACUAUCACAGAAGGAUCUGCUCUUAGAAGAGAAUGUAUCAGAGCUGGGAGGGUCUUUAUCACAUACAAAGUCUUGGGAGGCACAAUUCAUGAGAGAAUUUUCCUGGAAGAAGAAAGCUUAGAGUACAGAAUAUUAAAGCUAGGGGAAGAGGGAGAGAACCACACAUAUUAUCAAAAAAGAAAAACAAAAGAAAAAGGUCAUCAAUUUUAUUCUUUGCAAAUGCUCUAUUACUAAAGAUUGAUAUUAGUGAUGACUAAGAGUAUUUAUUGCUUACAAUUGCGUUUACAGAGCAAUAUAUUUAAAAGGGAGCACAUAGAAUGCUCAAUAUCUUCUCUUAUAUGGGUCUGAAAUUAGAGAUGUAAAAGGAGUGAUUGAUCUUUGAUUUUUCAGUGGCAUUGUGGGCCACAGAAUUAUUUGUGUUAUCUUGAGAAGAUGGGCUAGUUUUAUGUUUUCAGGGCACCAGAGCAGGCAUAAAGAGGUUAAAGGAAUCCCAGAAACAAAGGAUAAUUAUAAUUUGAAAUGUUAUCUUUAUUCUCAUAUAGUUUAUAUCAUCAAAAGAGCAAAGAAUUGUCUAAGGUCUUAGACCAAAGAGCUAAAUGUAUACAUUUCUCAUUCAGGACCUUAUAUGGGUUCAAGUAAGAACCCCCCAACAAGACAUGGGAUUUCUUGCAGUGCCCUGAUCAGUUAAAAUUGUUAUUGAUAUUCCCAUUAUUGGGAAUAGAGGGAAGAGUAUUGAUUCACGUACCAUUAAAUAGUACAAGGAAUUUCAAAGAGAGACUAUUUGAGCUGUGAUUUUGUUAUCAAGACUUAUGGGCCAUGAAUUAAGAGAAAAAUAAACUAAUAAAUGAAUAAGAGAGUCGAAAAUAAUGUGUCAGAGCUCUUAAAGGUCCUUAUGUAACACAGAAAAUCUUAACUAGGAGGUAUUAUUCAAAAACAGAGCUGGGAGAGCACAGACAGCUUCAUUAUAUAAAUAUAGGGGAAAAUAGGGUCCUCAUUUUGAUUCCUUUAAGUUCUUCAGACUGUUUUUGGUAUUGACUAGAGAAUAUGUAUUAACCAUAAUAAUUUUUGAAGAACAAUGCAUUUAAAAGAGAGCACAUAGAAUGCUGUGUCAUAUAAGAAGGGUCUUAAAUUAGAGAAGUAAGAGGGUAAAUAGAACUUAGGUUUUGACAGUCAGCACAGAUCAAGGGAAUCUCAAUGUCAUCCUGGCGAAGAUGUGUUUUGUUUUUGUUUGUUUUUAAUGCUUUCAGUGGGGCAAGGAAUAGAGAGACACAGUCUAAUUGAAACUCCAUUAAAUCAUGGAAGAAAUUUAGAAUCCAGACUGUCUGAUUGUGAUGAGUCCUAGAACCUGAAAUAGGAGAGAUCAGAAGGAAUCUUUUAAAAUGAAAUGGGGAGAACAGAGCCAUAGAACAAAAUAGUCUAAGACAAUAAGAUCUUAGUACCUAGAUUAUGGGAUCUGAGAGAAGCAUAGAAGAAAGAACUCCUGAAACACAGUGCAUGAGAGCCCAUUGUUCUGAAAGUACAGACCUAAAAGGUGAACCUUGAUUCUCAGAUCUGGAAAGGGGCCUUAGCAUACUCAAUAGCGUCUUUGAGAACCUGGAUUUCUCUGUGUUCUCAGAGCACCAAGGUAUGGUUAAUUGAAACCUUAAAAAAGAAAAAAUAUUUGUAACUUGAAUUGGUUUCUUUAUUUCUACAUAAUCGUAAUCAGGAGAAUAUUGCCUCCCUGCAUAAACUCAGAUUGCAGAACAAAGAACUACAGGUAUAAGCUUACAAUCUAGUUCAUUAUAUGGCUCCAAGAACUAAAAGUGAUCUCCUGAUAAGACCAGUCAUCCCCUGUACUGCUCUGCUCGCAUAUUAUUGCUAUUCAUAUUCCUGUUAUUGUGAAUGGAUGGAGAAUAUUUACUCACUAUCAUAAAGAUUAACAAAGAGAGACUGGGCUGUCAUUUUAUGACUAAGUUCCAUGGGCAGGGCAAUAAAUGUUAAAUGAACAAACCUAUAAAUGGAUAAAAUAUGAAAAUUUUGCCCUUGGCUAAGAGGUCUUUUGCACAUAGAAAGGCUUGACUGGAAGGUGCCAUUUAAGGGAGAAUUUUUCAGGUAGAAGAGAGAGUAAAGUAUACUCUGUUACAGCUUGAAAGGAAGAACUAUACUAUAUUAAAAAAAAAAGAAAAACAGAAAAUUGAUUAUCAAUUUGAUUCCUUGCAGAUCUUUGAUUUCUUAAAAAUGCUAUUGGUAUUGACUAGGGAACAUUAAUUAUUCACAAUAACUUUGAAGUAUAGAACAUUGAAAAGAGAAUAUGUGGAAUAGUGAUUGACCUCAGAACAGUCUGAAAUUAGAGAGGAAGGAGAGGUGAUAAGACAUCUUCGGAGUUAGUACAGCCAAUAUAAAUCUCAUUGUCAUCCUUGAGAAAAUGAAAAGUUUUAUGCUCCCAGUAGGUCAAGGAAUAGAGAAAGUAUAGUUAAUUUAAACUCCACUAAGAACAUGGAAGAAAUUUAGAAUCCUGACUGUGUGAUUGCAGUGAGCCCUAAAACCUAGAAUAUGAGAAGCAGGAGGGUCUUGAGAAGACAGAAGGUAGCAGAAUUUCAGCCAUAGAACAAAAAUAGGAUGAGGCAAAUGGGAUCUUAUUAAGUAGAUUCUGAGAUCUGUGAGUAUCCAAAAAGGAGGAAAUGUGAGAGCUGGAAGGGCACAUAGAACAAUGGGUGUCAGAAGAGGAGAGCACACAGAAAGUGGUAUUUCAGGUUUGGAAUUGUUCUGUGAGAACAGAGCUAGAAUGUUUAAUAGAAACUUUUUCAAAGCAAAAGGGACCUUGGAACUCUCAUUUUCAUCUUUGAUAAUAACUUUUUUAAGUUGUCAGGACACCAAGGCAUGGGGUGAGACAGGUUAAUUGAUCUUUUAGUACUGAAAUUGGUAUAUUUAGUUGUGUAUAUAUAGUUAUAGGGAACUAUAAUUUAUAUUAUGAGAGUGAUGAUUUGUCUGAUUUAAAACUCAGGUCUCAGACCAUAGAGCCAAAUAUAUAAGUUUACAAUUGAGUAGCUUAUUUAGUUCCCAGAAAUAAACACAGUUCCUGACAAGACAUGUGAUUGUAGUUCCAAGAUCAGAUAAGACUUCUUUUGAUAUUCCUGUUAUUUGAAAAGGUUGGAGAAUGUUUACUCACUACUAUGAGGUUUUAAGUACAAGGCAUUUCAGAGAUUUGUGCUGUUACUUUGUGAUUAAGGGCAUGUGCAAUAAGAGAAUUUUUUUUUAGAAAAAGAUAAAUGAAUAGAAUAUCAUGGGAGUGUUUGCCCUCAGAACAUAUAAAGUCUAGGAUAAGGAGCCUUAGUACAAAGAAAGGAUUAUUUGGGAGGUGAUAUUCAAGGGAUUAUUUUCCAGGGAAAAGAGAGCUUAAAAUAGAGACUUUUAGAGGUGGUAAGGCACAAUUUAAAAAACACAAAUAUAAAAAGAUGGUCAUGAAUUUGAUUCCAUGCAUAUCCUUAUUUAUUCACUACUGCUGUUGGCAACAAUUGAAGAGUAUUUAUUGCCCACAGUAACUUUUGAGUGCAGUACUUUUAAAAGGGAACACAUUGACUGCUGAAUGUCUGAUAUAAGAGGUGUCUGAAAUUACAGAGGUAAGGACAAUAGAAUUUAGAUUUUCAGAGCCAACAUGAGCCAUAGAAAUCUCAAUGUCAUUCUUGAUAAGAUGAAUUUUUAAUAUACUCAAGGAGCCAUAUAUAUAAUUCAAGGUAGAGCUGGACAAAAUUCAGAGGGCCGACUUUGGGAUCUGGAUUAAUCCUAAUUAUGGAAUAUCAAUUAUUUGGAGAGGCUUUGGGGAAAAAAAAGUUGAAAGGACAGAAUGAAGCAUAAAAAAUAGUUGGAGCCAGUGGAUCUAAGUAUAAAAAACAUGGGUCAUGAGAAUAGCCAGAGGAGAAAAUGUUCUCACAUUGUAAAGGUAUGAAGAACAAAGGAUAUCAGGGAAGGGAGCACAUAGAAUGUGGAAUUUCUGGUGUGAGAGAGUUUCACAAGCACAGAACUAUAAGGUACUAUAGAACCUAUAUUUUCUGACCUGGAAGUUGCCUUUAGAAUUCUCAAUGGCAUCUUUCAGAAGAUGGAUAUUUUUAUGUUCUCAGGACACCAAAGCAUGUAAAGAUGUAAUUUCUAUCAGGAGAGUAGUAAUUGAAUUAAAACUUUGGUCCCCAAUCACACAGCCAAAGGUAUAAGUUUAUAAUCAAGUAUUAUAUGUACCGUUAAGGAAUAAAAACUAUUCCUCAAGACGAGUGAUUCCUUGUAGUGUGAUGCUGAUCAAGUUAGACAUCUAUUGAUAUUCCUUAAAUUAAAAUACCUUAGUGUUUUAAGUACAAGCCUUUUCAAAAGAGGCCAUUUCUACUGUCAUUUUAUUACUAAGACUUAAAUGGGCUGUAAGAGAAAAUAAAUGGCAUUUAGAAAUUAAUAUGUCAGAGAUAUAAGAUUCUUCAGCACAUAGAAAGGCUUGGUUGGAAGGUGUUAUCCCUUAGAAAAUUUUCCAAAUAUAAGAGAGUUUGGAGUAUAAAGUAUUAGAGCUGGUAGUUCAGAACUAUACAAUAUUAAAAAGAACAAGAAAAAUGAUCAUCAAUUUAAUUCCUUGCUGAUCCUUGAUUGUUCAGCACUGCUUUUGGUAAUGAAUAGGGGUCGUUACUGUCCACAAUAACUUUUGAAGUAUGAUACAUUUACAAUGGAGCGCCUGGAAUGCUAAAUGUCUGAUCUCACAGAGGUGUGAAAUUUGAGGAAAGAGAAGGGAUAAAACUUAGAUUUUCAGAGGCAUUGUGGGCCAUAGAACAUUAUGUCAUCCUUUAUAAAAAUGAGUUAUUUCCUACUUGAAGGUCAAGUAAGAAAAUUAUUUGUGGCUGGAAAUGCUACCAUUAGUUCUAUAUAUAGUAUAUACCAGGAGAGUAUAAUUGUCUGAAUUAAAAUUCAGGUACUAGAUCACACAAUCAAAAAUAGAAGUCUGUCAUUGAGAUUCUUAUAUAACUUUAAAAAGUAAAAACAAUCCACCAACACAAGUCACUCUUUGUAUUGAUCACAUAUUCCUUUUAUUCAGAAUGGAACAAGAGUAUAGACUGAGUACUAGGUACUUACUCUUUGAAACAAAGAAAGACCAGUUGUGCUAUUGCCUUAUAAGGAAGACCCACAGGCAGUGCAAUAAGAGAAAAAGAAAUAAACUGAUGAAUGUACAACAUAGGAGGGUCUGCUUUUAGAACAUAUAGCAUCCAAGCACAUAGAAAAGCUUGAUUGGGUUGUCAUUCAAGGGAGAAUUUUUCAGGUAUAAAUAAGAGCCUAGAGUAAAGACUGUUAGAUUUGUCAGGGGAGAACUACAUGAUAUAAAAAUAAGAAAAGAAUCCUUGGGGCAACUAGGCGGCACAGUGGAUAGAGCACCAGCCCUGAAGUCAGGAGCACCUGAGUUCAAAUCUGGUCUCAGACACUUAACACUUCCUAGCUGUGUGACCUGGGGCAAGUCACUUAACCCCUUUUGCCUCAGCAAAUAAACAAACAAAUAAAUAAAUAAGAAAAAAAAAUCCUCUUCUCUACCUCCCACCCCACAGUGGUCAUCAUUUUGCUUCUUUCAGUUCCUUCAUUACUUAAGAUUAUUAUUAAUGGCUCAAGAAAGACUGCAGGAUCUAGAUGAACCUUAGAACUUAGAAUAUGAAAGGUAGGAGGGAGUUUCAAAGUGUGGGAGAAAGCUUUGGCCAUAGAAGAAAUAUAGUUUGGGCCAGUGUGGCCUUAAUAUGUAGAAUAGGCAUUCUUAGAGUAGCCAUAGAAAAGAGAAUGUUAGAAUUGGGAGGGCAUCUACAACUAGGGAUUUUAGAGCAAGAAAACACAAAGAAUAUUGAAUUUCUUGUUUGGAACUGUUCAGAAAGAACACAGCUAAAAGGUGAGAGAAGCUAGAUUUUCAGAGCUGGAAAGGGCCUUAGAAUUUUCAGUGACAUUCUUGAAAAUAUGUAUUAUUUCAUCUUCUCAAAUGGAAAAGACAUGAAAAGGUAUAGGUUAACUGAAAUCCUUGGUUAAAAUGAUAUUUGUGACUAGAAAUGCUACCUUUAUUUCCACACAAUAUAUAUAGAGAGAGUGAUAAUUUUCUAAAUUAAAACUCAGGUACCAGACCACACAGAUUUACAAAUUUAUUAUCAAGGGCCUUCUAUAUUUCUAAAAAAUAAAAACAAUCUGCUAAUACAAAUGAUUCCUUAUAGUGCCCUUAAGUGUUGGACUUAAAAUUGAUAUUUCUAUGACUGGAAAUGGAUGAAAAAUAUUUAAGGUACACCAUAAAGCAUCAAUGAUUGGGGAACUUCAAACUAAGACUAUGUCGCUUUAUGACUAAGUCCCAUGGUCAGUGCAGUAAAAGAAAAAUAAUCAAAUCAAUAAAUGGAUAAAAUAACAUAGAAUGGUUUGCCCUUAGAACAUAUAGUGUCAGAACUAUGAAGUUGUUUAGCACAUAGAAAGGCUGGACAUUUGGAGGUGCCAUUCAAGGCAGAAUAUUUCAGGUAGAACAGAGAUUGCAUACCAUUAGAGCUGAGAGGCCAGAACUGCACCAUGUAAAACUAGAAAAAAAAAAUCGAUCAUCAAUCUGAACCUUGUGGAUCCUUGAUUAUUUCAUACGAUAUUGAUGAUGACUAGGGAGUAGUUACCACUAAUAACCAUUGAAGUACAUUGCUUUUAAAAGAGUAUAUACAUUAUGUAUGCUAACUGCACGAUAUAGGAGUCUUACAGAGGUAAGAGGGACUAUAGAAUGUUGAUUUUCAGAGCUAACAUGAUAGAACCUCUAUUUUCAGAACCUGUAUUUGUUGUUGUUCAGUCAUUUCUAUUGUGUUCAACUCUUUGUGGCCCUAUUUGGGGUUUUCUUGGUGGAGAUACUGGAGUAGUUUGCCAUUUCCUUCUUCAAUUCAUUUUACAGAUGAGGAAAUUGAGGCAUUCAAGUGACUUGCACAAGUUCACACUAUUUGAGGUCAAAUUUUCACACAGGAAGCUGGGUCUUACUUAAUUCCUUGACUGAUACACUAUUUACUGCAGUGCCACCUAGCUCCCUAUAUAGCUAGAACUAAUAUUUUUCAGAGCUGGAAGAUGCCUUAGAACUUUAAAGUAACUUAAACUUUAGAAGAUGGAUUUCUUAUGUUUUUAGGUCACUAAAGCAUGGAGAGAGACAGGUUAAUUGAAACUCUAGGAGCAAAAGAUAUUUAUGGCUUGAAAUGCUACCUUUAUUACCUGAUAAUUUCUACAAGGAGGGGGAAGCUAGAUGGUGUAGUGAAUAGAACACUCAUCCUGGAGUCAGGAGAUCCUAAGUUCAAAUCUGGCCUCAGAUAUUUAACCCUUUCUAACCGUGGGACCCUGAACAAGCCACUUAACCCUAAUUGCCUCGCAAAAAAGAAAAAAUUUAUAUAAGGACAGUGGUAAUCGUUUGAAUUAAAAUUCAGGUCUCCAAACAUAAAAUAGCCAAACGUAUAAGUCUAUAACCUAUUACCUUAUAUGCCUCCAAGAAAUAAAAACAAUUCCCCAAGAUAAAUAAUUCCUAGAAACAUAAUGAUCAGGUUAGACUUUUAUUCAUAUCCCUGGUAUUGGGAAUUAAUUAGUAGUACUCAUUACCAUAAGGUUUCAAGUCCAAGGAAUGCCAAAGUGAAGCCAUUUAUACUGUUACUUUGCUACGAUAGGCAAUGCAGUAAGAAAAAAAAGUAAUUAAAUUGAUAAAUGGAUAGAAUAUGAAAGUAUUCUCUUUUCUCCAGUUAGAACUAGAAAAAAAUUAGAGGAUAAACUAUUGGAUCUAGAUGAGCUCUAAACCUGAGCUAUCAAAGUUAGAAGGGACUUUGGAAGAAAAAAGUUGUGAGAUGGACAGAGCCAGUGAAUGAAAAAUAGUGUGAGCCAGAAGGCAGCAAUAUAUAGAACAUAGAUCAUGAGACUAGCCAGAAAGGAGAAAAAGUGAGAUCCAGGAGGGUACCUAAAACAAAGAAUAUCAGUGACAGAUAAGACUGCUCUCAAUAUCCUGUUAUUGGGAAGUAAUUGAUAGUAUUUAUUCACUAUCAUAACUUAACAUGUGGGCAAUUCAGUAAAGGAAAAGUAACCUAUGAAAUGGAUAGAAUUCAUAGGAGUGUUUACCUUUAAAACAAACUAUGUCAGAACUAGGACAAUCCUUAGCACAUAGGUAGUCUGAAAUAGGAGGUGCUAUUCAUGGGAGAAUAUUCCAGGGAAAUACUGAAUCAGGGCUACCCAAUCAUGAUGAGUUGUAGAACCUAGAACGAGAAAUGGGAGAGACUUUAGAACAUAGAAAGUGAUAGCUGGACAGACCCAUAGAACCAAAAGUAUUCUGAGCCAGUAGGACCUUACUAGUAAGAGUGUGGAACUUGAGAGUUGCCAUAGAGAAGAGAACAUGAGAGCUGGAAGGGCAUUUAGAAUAAGUAGUGUCAGAGCUAGAGGGCACACAGACCAUGGAAUUUCUGGUAUGAAUGGCUUUCGUAAGAACAGAGCUAGAAGGUGUGAUAGAACCUAGGUUAAUAAUCUAGAGUUAGUAAGUCUUAUACCAAAACAUAGAGAGGGACAGGGGUAUUUAAAACCCUACUUCCAAAUGAAAUUGGAGGCUUGAUAUGCUAUAUUUAUGUCCAAAUAAUUUAUAUCAAGAGAGAAGUGAGUGCCAUAAUUUAAAAUCAAGUCCAAGAUCAUAGAACCUAAAGGUGUAAGUUUAUAAUCUAGUACUUUACAUGGCUCCACGAAAUAAAAACAGUCCCUGACAAGACACCUUAUUCUUUGUAGUACCCUGAUCAAAUAAGACUACUAUUGAUUUCCUUUUUGGGGAUAUGGAUGGAAAAUAUUUAGUAUCUACUAUAAACUUUUAAGUAUUUCAAAGAAAGGCUAUUUGAUUUUAUAACUCAAACCCAUGAACAAAGCAGUGAGAGAAAACUAACUCAACAAAUGGAUAGAAUCUCAUAUGAGGGCUUGCCCUUGGAACAUAUAUUGUUAGGGCUAUGAGAACUUUCAGCACAUAGAAAGGCUUUGUUGGGAGAUGCCAUUCAAGGGAGAAUUUUCCAAGGAGAAGAGAGCUUAGAAUACUCUCAUUAGAGCUAGGAAGACAGAAUUCUCAGUGGCAUCCUUGAAUGAGUUAUUUUAUACUCUUAGGGCACCAGGGAAUGAAGAGAGACAGGUUAAUUGAAAUUUGAAUAAUGAAGUAUAUUUGUUACUUCAAAUGCUGCAUUUAUUGUUGUUGUUCAGUCUUGUCUAACUCUUUGUAGCCCCAUGGACCAUAAUACACUAAUAUUAUUCAUGAGAUUUUCUUGGCAAAGAUCCUAGAAUGGCUCAUCAUUUCUUUUUCCAGUGGAUUAAGGCAAACAAGAGGUCAAGUGACUGUUUGUGUCUGAGCCUAUAACUGAACUCAGGUCUCCUCAUCUCCAUACCCACAGAGCCACCUUGUUGCCUCUAAUUUAGUACAUAGAAAUUCUUGGUUGGGUGGCACCAUUCAAGGGAGAAUGUUCCAGGUAGAAAAGAGCUUAAAUAACAGAAUAUUAGACCUAACAGUGAAGAAGAGCACAAUAUAAAAAAAUAAUUAGUCAACACUUUUUAUUCAAUGCAUUUCCUUGAUUACUUAGUACUGUUAUUGAUAAUGACUUUGGAUAUUUAUUGACUAUAAUAAUCUUUGAAGAAUAGUACAUUUAAAAGGCAGUUCAUAGAAAACUAAAAUAGCUGAUGUAGGAGGAGAGUCCAGGGAACUUAGAUAUUCAGAACCAGUAGGAGUAGCAGAACUCUAUGUUAUCAUCCUUAAGAAGUUGGGGAUUUUUUUCCUCAGGAUGCAGUUGUAUGGGAAGAAAUAGGUUCACUGAAACCUUAGAACCAAAAGGGAUAUUUGUUAUUUGGAAUAUAAGGUUUAUUUCUGUUUAAUUUAUAUCAAGACUGUGGCAGUUGUCUGAAUUAAAACUCAUGUCAUGGAUCACAACAGUAAAAGUAUAAAUUUAAGAUAAAUACCUCAAAUGGCUUACAAAAUUUUAAAACAAACCUCCCUACUAAACAAAUGACUCCUUAUGGAGCCUUAAUCAGAUCAAAUUACCAUUUAUAUUACUAUUAUUGGAAGUGGAUAGAGAGGAUUGAUUGAUUGCUGUAAGGUGCUAAGUACAGUGCAUUUUUUUCCUCAGUAGUAUUUUAUUUUUCCAAAUACAUAUAAAGGUAGUUUUCAACAUUCAUUUUUGUAAGAUUUUGUGUUUCAAAUUUUACUCCCUUCCCCCUUACCUCUACCUUCUCUGUGAAAUACAUGAAUAUGAAAUACAAUGCAUUUCAAAGGGAGACCAUUUUUGCUAUUACUUUAUACUAAAAUCCAUGGAUAGUGCAAGAAGAGAAAAAUAAACCAGUAAGUGAAUAGAAUAUGUCACAGGAAUAUCUGUCCUUGGAAUAUAAGAUAUCAGAGAAUGCAAGUCCUUGGUACAUGGAAAGUCUUGAUUGGAAAGUGCCAUUCAAGAAAGAUAUUCCAGGUGGAAGACAGUUUAGAGUAUAGAAAAGGAGAGCUGGAAGGGUAUGAUAGAAGCAUGAUAGAAAAAGUAAAAUUCAAAAAAAUGGUCAUCCAUUUCAUUUCAUGCAGAUUCUUGAUGACAUAAGAUUGAUAUCAGUAAUGAAUAGCAAGCCUUUUUUGCCUAAAAUAACUUUUCAAGGACAAUGUGUUAAAAAGACAUUCUUUUUUGAAUCAUAUUGCUAACAUACGUUCGCAGUCUACUUAAACCAGCAAAAAUAAAAAAAUGAUGAGGGAAAAAGCCUAGAAUUUUGGAGCCAGGUGAAGCAUAGAAUAUUCUAAGACUGUUAGAGUCCUUAGCACACAAAGUGUCAUGGCAGAGAGUGGUGAGAGAUAGCAUAAAGAAUUUUGGAACAAGAAUAGACAGAAUGUCACAAAUGGCCACUGAAGGCAGAAUAUCAGCCAGAGAAGGUUUGUGAAAAAAAUAGAAUAUCUGAACUUGGAUUAAAUUUAGAAUUCAGACUGCCAGAUCUGGUUUGAAUAUGAGGGAAGAGUUACUUUAGAAGAUAUAAAUGGGAGAUAGAGCCAGAGAAUAAAGAUGAUCUGAACCAUUGGGACCUUUUUGCACAGACUGUGGAUCUUAAAUGAAACCAGAGAAGAGAAUGAGAGAAUGAGAGGGCACCUAGAACAAAGGAUAGCAGAACAAGAGAGCACAUAGGAUUUUGAUUUUUUGCGGGGUGUGGGAGGAUUAUGUAACAACAGAGUUAAAAUACAACUUAGUUUAACUUUCUUCGCGCCUUUAAGUGUUAUUGAAAGAAAAAUGUAGCUAGAGAAGAGUUUAGAAUACAGAGUUAUUAGAGCCAAUUGAGCAGAACUGAGAAUGAACAGUGAAGAAAACAGAAUGUGGUAUACAGUAUUUGAACUGCCAAGAAAUUUAGAAUGAAAAAUGCCUAUCGUGAAUGGGGUUUUAGAAGCUGGAAUAUCAGAGGUAGGAGAUGCCUUAGAGCACACUUAAACUAUCUCUGAUUCUUGGCAAAUCACUUAACCUCACUUUGACUCCGUUUUCUCAGUUGUAAAAUAGGGAUAAGAAUAGCAUCUGCCUCAAAGAAUUGUUUUGAGGAUCAAAUGAGACAAUUUUUGUAAAAGUGUUAACAUAAUGCCUGGUACAUGAUUGGCACAAUAUAAAUGCUUAUUCUCUUAUGAAACUCAAAAAACCAAAAACAACUUAUUUUUUUUUAAAGUGAUUCCUUGAUCAGUUAAGACUCUUGUUGAAAUUACUGCUAUUGAUAAUAGAUGGAGAGUAUUGACUACUGUAAGAUAUUAGGUUCAUUCCAUUUCAGAGAGAAACCACUUGUAUUUUCACUUACUGUCUUAAUAGUGCAACAUUCAGUGUAAUCAGAGAAAAAACAAGUUACAAGAGGAUGGGACAUAAAAACAGAAUGUCAGAGCUGAGAGAGACUGUAGAACAGGGAAUGUCAGAGCUUAGACUAGUAUGACAGAGCUGGGCUGGGCUUUAGAACAGAGACUGUCAAAACUGGGAGAGGCCUUAGCACAGAAAAAAUCUUGGUUGGAAGGUACUAUUCAAGGGAGAAUACUGGAGGUGAGAGAGAAGAUAGAAUAGAGAAUUUAAGAACAAAGAAGGUAGUCUGGACCUUGAAUGUCACAACUGGGAGUAGACAUUGAUUAAAAAUAUCAGACCUGGGAGAGGAUGUAAUAAUAUACAGUAUAUCUGAGCUUGGAAGAAAUUGGGAAACCAGACUGCCUGAUCUGGAUGAGUCUUAGAACCUAUAAUAUGAGAGGCAAAAGGGGCAGUAAAACACAGAAAAUGGAAGAUGAUCUAAGGCUGAGAACAGAAAUGAUAAGAACCAGUGUACCAUAGUACACUGAUAGUAGGCAUAGAGAAGACAGUGUGAGAGAUGGGAUGGUAUCUAAAGCCAGGAUUAUCAGAGCAUAGAAUGUUCAAUGACUUGGGAGGAACCUUAAAAAAAUGUCAGAGCUGAGAAAGUGAGGGGUUAUAGUAGAUUUUUAGUGCUGAGUAGUAUAAUUUUUGAAGAGAUUAUUCUUAUGUGCUCAGUUGGUUAAGGCAUGCAGUAUUUAUUUCCAUAUAAUUUAUAUCAGACAAUGUUGGUUAGGUGAAUUAAAACUUGGGUCCUGGAUCAUAGAGAUAAAAGGCAUGAAUUUAAAAUCUUGCCCCAGAUGUGGCUCCAAAAAUUAAAGCAAGACACACGAUUCCUCAUAGUUUCUUGAUUAGGUAGGAUUACUAAUGAUAUGAUUUAUCAUUAUUACUAAAAGUUGAAGAGUUUUUAUUUAAAAGGAGACCGUUUGUGCUAUCAAUUUUUUGCUAACACCAAUAUGCAGUGUAAUAAAAGAAAAACAAAUAAGGAGGAACACUAACAUUUUAUAAGAGAUGUGGACCUUAGAAUUUAAAAUGUUAGAGCUGGGAGAAUACUUAAUAUAUAAAAUUUCUUGGCUUAGAUGUUCCUUUCAAGGGAGAAUAAUUUAGAGGAAAGCUUAAAAUAAAGAAUAACAAAAUUUGGAGAAUAGUCUUAACUCCAAAUUCAGAAAUUUUAGUAGAUGGGGAAGACAUUCUAUCAGUUCUGGAAGGGUUUAUUCAAUAUCCAAACUUGUAGCAACUUCAGAAUUAAGAAUGCCUGUGCUAAUUGGCACCCACCAAGCUGGAGUAGCAAAUAUGAGGGGAAUCAUAGAAAACAGAGAAACAUGGACAAAUCUGAGAAUACAAGUUGCCCUAGCAUUGUGACCUUCACGCACAGUAUGUCAAACUUGGGAGUUUGGGAGAGAAGAGAAUGUCAAAACUAGGACUCUUAAAACGAAGAUCUCAGAGCCAGAACCCUUAGAACACAGAAUGGCAGAAUUGGGAGGGCUCUUCAAACACAUAAAAUUUCUGGUAAGAAGUUCUUUGUGAUUGUAAUUUUUUUUGUUGUUGUUGUUAUUCUUUUAAAUAUGUUCAGUGGGCCAUGGUUUUGGAUGGAAAAGAGAUAGAUAUAUUACAGAGAUAUACACAGAAAGAAUAACAAAGUAUAAUAUGAGAUGCAAUAUAUAUUUCAGUGUAAUUUAUAGCAGUUCAAUGGGGAUACAUUGAAUUAAAAUUCAUUUUUGGAACUACCAGUCAAAAGACAAACCUAAUCUAGGUCCAGACAAAGGAUUGAAAUGAAAAGAACCUGGCAAAAAAAGUAAUUCAAGUCAGGAGCUGGAUGGGUGGCCUUAGACCUAGAAUAUCACAUGUGGUAAGGCCUUUAGGACAUAGGCACAAUACAAACUGUCCUCUUUAUUGUGACAUCACACAGAAUGUAGGCUUGAAAGUAACUAGAGAAGAGAAUGUCAGAGGUACUUGGAUCCUUACAAUAGGCAAUCUCAGAGGCAGGAAAGCUCUUUAAUGUCAGAACCAGCAAUGACCUUAAAAACCACAAAAUGACAGAGCUAGGAAGGGCCUUAGAAGACGCUAUCAUUUCUGGAAAGGAAGUGUUUUUUGUUUUUUGUUUUUUGUUUUUUUAAUGUUCUCAGUGGCCAAGCUGUUAUGAAGGUUAGGUAAAAUUUAAAAUCAAGUUUACUUAGAGUAUAGAUGCAAUCUAUUAGCAACAUGAUGAUAUCCUGAAUGAAAAACUUAGGUCCUCAACCACGCAGAGCUUAUUUUGACUUCUCCCAAAAAAUGUAGGAAAGAAAGCAGGGGGAAUAAUCCCAUGCCAGAAAUAGGAAAAGACUGCUAUGAUUAUUACUAUCAUUGUAAAUGAAGAAAUAGUAUUUAUUGAAAAAAUUAAGGUAAGUACACAGGAUAUAAAAAGUUUAAAAGGUACUUACUAUUUGUGACUUGCAAUAAUUCUACCAUAAGACAUAUAAGUAAUGUAAUAAAACCCAAUAACUAAACAAAAAAAAAAUACCCUAGAAUAUCAGAGGAAGAACAUUAAAUAUCAGUGCCAGGUUGACCUUUGAAAAAUAGGAAAGCCUUAAAAACACAAUGUCAGGAGGAGGAACAUCUUUAAAAUCUGUGAGGGCUCUUAGGACAUAGAUUAUUUCAACUUAGAACACAGUGUCAUCAUUGAUGGGAAGGAGGUUUCGAUGUUUUUUUUCAAAAUAUUAGGCUUUAAAAAUGAUGAAGUAUCUUUUGUGGCAUGAGAUGCAACAUUUAUUUGAAUAUAAUUUAUAACAGCACAAUAGUGAUGCUCUGAAUUAAAACUCAGGUCAUGAACCACACAAAGAGGAAACGUGAACAUACUGUGCUAAUCUGGCUCCCCCCCUAAAAAAAAAAAAAAAAGAAAAAGAAAAAACCCCGACAAAAAAGUAAUCCUAUGCAGUGCCUUGAAGGGUAAGACAGCUGUUGUUAUUCCUAUUAUUCUUAAUGAAUGGGGAGUAUUUAUUGAAAAAUAAAUAAGGUAAGUUCACAGGAUUUAAGUGGGACAAUAUUUGGGAUUUUAAAUAAUUUUAUAUUUAAGAUUUGUAUCUAAAGUAAUAAAACUGAACCAAUAAAUGAAAGGGGAAAAAAACCCUUGACUAUCCAAAAAAAGUCAGGAACCAAAAUGUCAGAGCUGGGAGGGUCUUUAGAACAUGUAGUGUUUGGCCUUUCAGGAGAACAUCUGGCAUCUAGAUAAAGCUUAGAGUAGAGAAAUUCGACAUUUGGAUAGUAGUUAUUAAUCUGAAUGUUGGAGGUUUAAAUAGAAGCUAUAAUAUCUAAUCUGGAAGGCACUGAGACUGUCUCAGCUUGGAAGCAAGUUUAGAUUAAGUGCCUGACCUGGAAUGGGUCUUCCAGUCUGGAAUAUGGAAGGGGGAGGGUGUUUAGAACCUGAAUUGUCUAAUUUAAUAGGAUCUGAGCCUAUAGAAUGUCUUGUCUGAGAGUAACCAGAGGGAACAUAAUGUUAGAGCAGGUAGGACUUUCGGGAAUAUCAGUGAGGAGACACUUUGCAACAGUCACCAAGUGAAAUGAGUGUCCAAGCCGGGAAGGUGGACUCUUAGAGCACAUAUUAGCAGAUUGGAAUUGGACCUGAGAACACACAGCAUCAUCCCAGGGAAGGAGCUUUGUUGAUAUGCUCAGGGGUCCAAGAUAUUGGGAGUCACAGGUAAAUUUAAAAGGCAACAACAAGUUCUCUUUAUGAUAUGAGAUGCAUAUUUAUUUCAGUUUAAUUUCUAGUAGCACAGUAAUGACAUCUGAAAUAAAACCCAGGUCUUGGGGUCCAUAUUCGAAGAGGAAAGGUGACAAGAUAGUGCCUUUAAUAGCCCUUACCCCUAUUUCCACCCCCACCAAAUGUCCCUGAAAAACACUAAUUCUGUGCACUGCCUUGACCUGAUUAGGCUGUUAUCAGCAUUCCUAUUGCCAGUAAAUGGAGAAUAUUUAUUGGAAAAUAUAAGGUAAGUGUACAAGAUGUGAAAGCAACAUCAUUUGGGAUUUUAAAUUAUUGUAUUGUUAAGAUACAUAUAAUGUAGCAGAAUAUAAAACUUAAAAAAUAAGUUAGAAUUUAAAAUACUCCAAAAUAUGAGAGGAAGGAGGACCUAAGAACAUAGACUAUCUGGCAGUGGAUAUACUUUUGAAAAGGAUAAACUGGAGGUUGGAGAAAGUUUUGAAUAUAGAAUUCUAAAACUGAAGUUUGGGCAAUCUGGCAGUUCAGACUUAAAAUGUCAAAACAAGUUGUUGAUUGGAAAGUCAGAAUAUCAGGCCUGGGAAAAAAUGUAGACCACAAAAUGAAUGGGCUCAGAGGAAAUUUAGAAUCCAGAAUGUUGAAUGGAAACCUGGAACCUAGAAGAUCAACCAUGGAAGGGAUCCUAAAACACAGAAGGCAAGAGAGGAUUAGAAUGUGAGAACAGGAUUAUCUAAUUCUCUGGAAGCAAAGUAUACAGAAUGUCAAGUUGGGGAAUAGCAGGAGAUAAGGGAAUGUUAGAGCCACGAGGACACAUGGAGUAAGCUUAGUACAUGAGAUUUAGGAAGGCCCUUAGAAUACACACUGUCAGAACUAGGAGUGCCCUUAACACCUUGGAGAGCUCUUAGAACAUGGAUUGGCAAAAUUGAAGCGAUCCUGAGUAUAUACAAUAACAUCUUUGAGAAGGAAUUUUGUUGCUGUACUUAGGUUUCUGAGUUAUAGGGUGGGGCAUGUAAAUUUAAACAGUAAUAAAAUAUAUAUUAUGAGAGGCAACAUAUGUUUCAGUAUAAUUUAAAUCAGCAUAGUGAUGGUGCUCCAUAUUAAAAUUCUGAUUCUCUGUCACAUUGUCAAAGGGAAAAGGCCAUUCAUUGCCUUGCCUUACCUUACUUAGGGAAAAAAAAUGAAAAGCCUUGACAGAAUUAGUAAUUUUAGUGUACUGUUUUAAUCCAGUCUGCUAUUGCUAUUAUUGAAACUAGGUGGUAAGUGCAUAGGAUCUAAAAGGCAUAGCAUUUCCUCUUUUAAAUCAUUAUGUUGGCAAGCUCAUAUUCAGUUUAUCAAAAUAAAAAUAAGUAGAUAAUAGAAAAAGAAAAAAAAUCUGAAAUAUCAGAAUAUCAGUUGUGGCCAUAGAACAUAGAAUUCCAGGCUUAGGGAGCAGGGGCCUUUAAGUCUGGGUUUGUGAGACCAGAAAGCUUAGAAUGGAGAAUAUCAGAGCUGAGAGGGUAGCCAGGGCUCAAAAUGAUAGAGCUAGGAGUAGUCACAGAAGUCAAAAUAUCAGAUUUGAAAGAGUACUUAGAACAUAGGAUUUCAAAAGUUGGAGAAAAUAUAGAAUCAAGAAUGCCUGAAUUAGAUGAGGCCCUGGAAGCUAGACUUAGGGUUAGUUUAAACUUAAAAUAUGUCAAACAUUGGUCAUGCCCACAAAACUCCCAAGUGCUUCCUUAGCUAGCUUAAAAUGAAAUUGAGAACUACAAAACAAAAUCAGUGAAAACACAGUAAAACAUAGGUAACAUUGCAUUUAAGAUCAAGUUCGUAUAUGACCCUCUAGGAUCCUUAGUAGAGACCCUGAUUUCUAGUGAGUUUGUCACCACUGUCUUAGAUCACAGAAAGUAGGGGAUGAUCAGAGCCUACAAACACAGAUUGUCCAAGUCAUUAGGAUGUUAACAAAGCCAAGACCAGAGCUGAAAGUGGUCAUAUCAUCCCAGAGAUAGGAAAUUCAGAGCUGGGAAGGUCUUAAAAGAAGGGAAUCUUAGAGUCAGGAGAGCCAUUCUCAUACUGAAUGUUAGCACCAGGAGCUUCCUUAAAGCCAAGAAUUUCAGAGCUGGCAGAGCUCAUAGAAAAGGGAUUCUGAGAAAUGAAAAGGGCCUUAGAACACAUAAUGCCAUAUUUGGGAAGAAGGGUUGUUGUUGUUUUUUUAUUUGCCAUAUGACAUAAGUAUUGGGAGGGACAGGUAGAUUUAUUUUUAAAAAUACAAAGUGUAUUUAUGGUAUGAGAUGCAACAUAUAUUUCAAUAUAAUUUCUGUCAGCACAAUUGUGAUACUCUGAAUUAAAACUCAGGUCCUGAACCACACAACCAAAGAAGAAAGGGGAACAUACAGUGCCUAAUCUGGCUCAAAAUAAAAAUAAAAAAAAGAAAAGAAAAAAAAAAGUAAUUACAUGCAUUGCCAUGAUGGGGUAAGACUGCUGUUGAUAUUACUAUUAUUGUUAAUAAAUGUGGAAUAUUUAUUGAAAAAAAUAAGGUAAGUACACAGGAUUUUAAAGAAAUAUCAUUUGAGAUUUUCAAUAAUUGUAUUGCUAAGAUAGAUAUGUGUUAUAAUAAAAGUGAAUAAGUAACUGAUAAAAAUAAAACCCCUAGACCAUUCGAGGAGGGAGGAAACUUAAAAUGUCAACUAUCAGGAAAGGAAGAUCUUCAGAAGCCAGAAUAGCUGAGCUUGGAGUUGCCUUUCAGGUUAAGGUAUUGAGUAGAAGGUAGAGACUGGGAAGGCAGUUUGGGUCUGAAUGUCAGUACUGGGUGUUGACACAAAAGCCAGGAUAUCAGACCUAGAAGGGGACUAAAAGCAUGGACUGUGGAGGCAGUUUAAAAUCAGAUAUACUGUUUGGGGCCUGGGAACCUGGAAUUUUAGUGCUUGAAGGAAACCUCAAAUACAGAAAGUAGGUUAGAGUCUGAGAACACAUAUUGUAAGGAUCAUCAUUUAUAUAAGUGCAGUGAUGUUGCUCUGAAUUAAAGCCCAUCCUUUAGUACUAUAGUACUAAGAAAAAGUGAACUAUAGUACUACAUCUGGUUAAAAAAAUUUAACUCCAUGAUCUGUCUUGUUUCGUUAGGACUGCUUUUGACAUUUGUAUUAUUGGUAAUGAAUUGGGAGUAUUUUUGAAACAAAUAAGGUAGGUGUUAAGUACAGAGUAUUUAAAAAGGAUCUCAUUUUUUCUUUUGAAUCAUAUUGUUUAGAGACAUUCAGUGUUAUAAAAUAAAAGGAAAUGAGAUUGAGGGAAAAAAACAACAUAGACUGUCAUACUAGGAUGUGGCCUUAUACCAGAAAAUUUGAGGACCCUUAGAACAUAGAAUAUGCCUUUUUCGAUAAAAUAGAGUGACUGCUAAAGAGUUUAGAAGGCAGUCAAGGGUUCGUUAUGACAGUAAUGGAAGUUAACCACAUAAAAGCCAAUAAUAUAGAUCAGGGUAGUCACUUGGAACAUCGAAUGGCUCAAUUUGAAGGAAAUUUAGACAACAGUGCCUUGAGCCCUAGAAUAUCAGAAGUUGAAGAGACCUUAGAUCCCAGAGAGUAGGAGAUGAUCUGAACCUGAGAAUACAAAUUGUGCAAAUCAGUGGGCCAUUAGGAAAAAAAAAAGUUGGACCUCAGAGAAAAUUUAGAGAAGAGAUUGUCAGAACUGGUAAGGUUCUUAAAUAGACUAUCAAAACCAGGAAGGAAAUUUGCUUUUUUAAAUUUAGAUGCUCAGUGGGGCAAGGUUUUUUGUUUUGUUUUGGUUUUUUUUGGCUGAGGCAAUUGGGGUUGUGACUUGCCUAGGGUCACACAGCUAGGAAGUGUUAAGUGUCUGAGGCCAGAUUUGAACUCAGGUCCUCCUGACUUCAGGGCUGGUGCUCUAACCACUGUGCCACCUAGCUGCCCCUGGGUAAGGUAUUUCGAUGAAAAAUAAAGAAAACAAUAAAUAGCAAAAAAUAUUUAGAGAAUUAAAUACAACAUAUAUUUCAAUGUUACUUUUACCCAGCACAAUAUUGAUACUGGAAACUAAGUCAAAUUUUGAACUCCACAAAGAGCUAAGUUGAAUAGACUGAGCCUAAUAGGGCUUAAAAACAAAACCAAAAAAGCAAAGUAAAAAAAAAAAGUUAAUAAAAAAGUAAUUUCAUACAGUGACUUGCUAGGGUAAAACUACUGUUGAUAUUACUAUUAUUGUUAAUGAAUGGGGACUAUUUAUUGUUUUAAAAAACCAAAUGCCAAACAAAACAAAGGUAAGUACAUAGAAUUCAAAAAGGCAUCAUUUUUCAUUUUAAAUUAUUAUUUUUGCUAAGAUAUAUGUAACAUAAUGUAACAAAACUGAAUAAACAAAAUUAAAAGGAAAAAAAUCCUAGAUUGUGAGAGGAGGGGGCAGCAUCAGAACAUAAAAUAUUCUUACAGUGUCUAGUCUUAAUGGUCCUUUCAAGAAAAUAUAUUGAAGGUGGGAUAGAUUUAGGAUAGAGAAUAUUAGCACAGAGAUAGCAGAUCCAGGCCUGAAUAUCAGAACUAGGAGUUGACACAGAAGCCAGAAUAGGAGACCUGAGAGGACACAUAGAAUAUAAACUAUAUGAAUGUGCAGGAAAUCUAGACUUUAGAAUCCCAGAGGUAAACGAAGUCCCCAAACCUGAAAUACCAGAGGUAGAAGGGACUUUAGAAAAUACAAUGGCAAUUGGACUGACCCUGAGAAUACACAGACAUUAUUAAACCUGAGACUAACCAUAGAGAAUGCGAGAGCCGGGAACGUACAUAGAACAAGGAACACCACAGUUAAUCAGCAUCAUACUGAUUCUCCAUAUUAAAAUGUACAUUUCCAAACCCAGCCAGUGAGGAAAGAUUAACAUAUAUUGUCCAAAAGAAAACAGUGAAAGAAAAAAAAAACUGACCAGAAAAUUUCAUGCAGUGUUUUGAAAGGUCAGGGCCACGGUAGCUACAACUGUUUUUAAUGAACAGGGAGUAUUUUUUGGAAGAAAAAAAAGUUAACUUAAAAGGAUACAAUUUUUCAAUUUUAAGUCAUUAUUCUGAGACCUAUGUAUAAUUCAGUAUAAUAAAGGGGGAAAAACAGAAGAGGGAGGGGUAUUUUGAAGAUAAAAUGACAAGGCUGAGAAGAUCUUUACAAAAUAAAAUUUUUAUCUUGGAAGUUGGCUAGAGCUAAGAAUAGAGACUUUCUGCCCUGGGAAGCCAAUUUGGGCUCUGACUGUUAAAACUGGAAAUUGACAUAGAAGCUAAAAUAUCAGCUACAUGAGCCCAUCUAGAAGAUAAAAUAUCUGAGCUUGGAGGCAAUUUAGAAAUCAAGAAUACCUAAGCUGCAUGAGACCAAGUGAGAGAAGAUCAGGACUUAAAAAUUGUUCAAUUUGGUGGGAUCUGAGAAUUUUGAAGGUCAGACCUGAGAGAAACCAUAGAAAAGAGAAUAUCCUAGCCCUCAGGGAAGAUUAAGCAAGGGAUGUCUGAGCCAGAAAACUGGAGAGUGUCAGAGAAGGGAUGCUGUUGAGAAUAUACAUAUUGCUGGGAAAUAGCUUGAUUUAUGUGCUCCUGGUAAGGGACAGAUAUAUUUUUUUAAAUUAUAUUUAGGGUGCAUGAGGCACCAAAUGUUUCACGAAGAUGCUCUGAAUUAGAAUUCAUAUACUGAGUCACAAAAUCAAAGUGGAAAGGUCACCAUAUAAUACCUAAUCUCACCCCUCCCCCCCAAAAAAUGAAAAAAGUAAUUUCAUACAGAUUCUUGAAUUGCAUAUUAUUGUUAAUGUUAGUGAAAGUACUGUAUUUAUUGAAAAAAUAAGGUAAGUACACACUAUUGAAAAGGGAAAGAAUUUUGAUUUUAAAGAAUUUUAUUGCUGACACAUAUAAUACAAUAAAUUGGAUAAAGGAGUAAAAAAAGAAAAAGACCCAAGAAUAUCUGAGGAGAGAGGAUUUUAAAAAAUAAAAUCAUAAAUCUGAAAGGGUUUAUAGAACACAACUUUUUACUUGCAUGUACAUUUCAAGAAUAUAUAUUGGAAGUUAGAGAGCUUAGAACAGAGAAUUUCACUGUGGGACAACAGUCUAGACUCCAAAUAUCAAAACAGGAAAGACAGAAUAUCAGACCUUGAUUAUCAUAAAAUGAAUGAACUUGAAGGUGAGUUAGCCUGAGCCAGAUUGAACCCUGAAAGCUGGAAUAGCUAACCUGGAAAGGACUUUAGAACAACAAAAUGUGAGAGUUGGUCAGAGCCAGAGACCAAAAAUUGAAAAACUCUAUGAGAUGUGAGUGCAAAGAAUUUAGGGCCUGGGAGAAGCCACAGAGAAGAAAGUGUCAGAGCUGGCAUAAAGAACAAGGGGUAUAUAUUUAGGAAAGCCCCUAGAUUAUAUAAUGUCAGGGCUAAUUUUGGCCAUAUCAGCCAUUCAGAUUUGAGACAGCUCUUAGAACAUAGAGUAUUAUACUUGAGGUGGUCCAGGGAACAUACGAUAUCAUCCCUGGCAAAGAGUUUGACUCAUGUGCUCAGGAUUCCAAACUAUGAGGAGGAAAACAUAAAUCUCAAAAACAAUCACUAAGAAUAUUUUUAGUAUAAGAUACAUAUAAUUUACAAAAGGACAAUGACAAUGCUCUGAAUUAAACUGUCCUUGAAUCAACCAAAUCGGUUAGUUAAAAAUAUAUUUGAUUUACUUUACUUAAAACAAAACAAACCUGUCAGACUAAUUCUUUGCCAAAAGAAAAUCUCAUUAAGACUAUAUUUCAUAUUGCUUUAAUUGGCAAUGAAUGAGAAAUUUUAUUGAAACAAAUUGUUUCAAUAAAAACUCCCUUUGAAAAAUGAGAUUUUAAACCAUUGUAUUGCUCAGACGUUUAAUUUGCUAUAAUAAAGCAAAAGAAAUUAAUGAAAUGAAAAGAAAAAACAGCCCUUAAAUGUCACAGGAAUGAGAUGUCUGAACUUAAAAUGACGGAACUGGGAGGUUUUAGAACAUAAAAUGUCUGAUAUAGAAGCAUAUUAAGAAACUAUUGGAGUAUGGAAAGAGCUAAAAUAUAGACUUUCAGACCUGGGAAAGAAGGUAGGACAUAGAAUGUUUGAAUUUGGAGGAAAACUUAAAAAUCAAGAAUGCCUAAUAUGAAUCCUCUGAAAGCCAGAAUAGUAAAAGUGGGAAAGAUCUUAGAACAUAGAAACUGUGAGAUGUUAAGAGUUUGAAAAGAGAAUUUGUCUGAUUCCAUGAAAUGCAAAGCUGGCAGAGAACUUAAAAGGAAGGGAUGAAAGAGUUAAGACUUUUGCGGGGAUCAAAUAAGAUGACAUUUGUAAAGCACUUUAGCAUAGUGCCUAGAACAUGGUAGCUGCUCUAUACAUUUUACAUUAAAUUAAUACUAGAAAAGCAUUUAGAACAUACCAAGACUCUUUAAAAAGUGUCACAGUUGACAGAGUUCUUAGACACAAAUUGACAGGGCUGAGAAGGUCCUGUGAACACAAAGUAUCAUUGCUGUUAAGGAGUCUUCUCAAUAUGAACGGAGGUCUAAGUCAUGGAGAAGGACAGGAAAAAUUUUAAAAUAAUAGAGCAUAUUUAUGGUAUGUAGUAUAAUAUACAUGUAUAUACAUACAUAUUUCAAUAUAAUUUAAUAUUAGUACAGUGGUGAUGCCCUGAAUUAAAAUUUGUGUCCUGCAACUCAGAGUUACAGGUACAAUGCCUUAAUUUUGCUCCAUUAAAAAAGGGGGAAAUAUUUGAAAACACAGUAAGUGUAUAAGUAUCUUCAAGGUUUACAGCUGCAGUGGAUAUCACUAUUACUGUUUUUCUUUUUUUCUUUCUUUCUUUCUUUCUUUUUUUUUUUUUUUUACUGAGGCAAUUGGGGUUAAAUGCCUUGCCCAGGGUCACAUAGCCAGGAAGUGUUAAGUGUCUGAGGCCAGAUUUGAAUUCGGGGCCUCCUGACUUCAGGGCUGGUGCUCUAACCACUGUGCCACCUAGCUGCCCCACUAUUACUGUUAAUGAUCACUAUUUAUUGAAAAAAUAAAAUUAAGUGCAGGCUCUGAAUGACAAAAUUGUAGUUGACAAGGAAACCAGAAUAUAAGUUCAGGAUAUGUAAAACAUAGAAUGUCAUUAAAUUAAUGAGUUUGGAGGAAAUUUAGAAUCAAGAAGGCCUGAAUUAAAUGGGACAGAAAGGAGUCUGUUCGUUUGUUUGUUUUUUGGCUGAGGCGAUUAGGGUUAAGUGACUUGCCUAGGGUCGCACAGCUAGAAAGUGUUAAGUGUCUGAGGUCAGAUUUGAACUCAUCUUCCUGACUUCAGGGCUGUGCUCUAACCACUUGUGCUACCUAGCUGUCCCCAGAAAGGUUUUUGACUAUAAAAUACUUAAGACGGGAGGGACUUUAGAAACUAUGGUAGCUGACUUGAAGGUACCUUCCAAAAGAGCACUGGAGGAUGGAUAGAGUCAGAAUAGAGAAUUCCAGGGCUGGCAUGGCAGGCCAGGCUCUAAAUAUCAGAAUUGGGAGUUCACAUAGAAGCCAUAAUAGAAGACUUGAGAAGUUAUGUCCAAUAUAGAAUGUCUCAGCAUGGAGACAGUUAGAAACAAUGAGGCCUCAAUUACAUGGGGCUCUCCAACCUAGAACAUCAAACUUAGGAGUGAUUUCAGAACUCAGAAAACAAGAGAUGAUCAGAGCUACGGAAGUGAAAUUAUCUGAUAUAGUGAGAUAUGAGCAUAUUGUAUGUCAGACUGGGAGAGACUGUCAGAGCUGGCCCAGGAGGUAGAAGAAAAGAUAUUGAAGGUCAAGGAGUUCCAAUAGCCUAAAAUCUCAGAAGUAGCUUUAGCCAUAAAACCUCCCAAUGUCAGGACUGGUAGCGCUCUUAGGACAUGGACUGUCAGAUCUCAGAUGGUCCUGAGGAAACAUACUAAGUUUUGUUGCUGUGCUCAGAGGUUCAAUGGGUAAAUAUUAAAAAUUAUGAAGUAUACUUAUAAUGUGAGCUAAAACAUAACAAUAUCAUUUAUGUCAGUACAAAGUUGAUCUUCUGAGUUAAAAUUUAUAUUCUACUUCACAGAAUCAAAGAGGAAGGGUAAGCAUACUGUGCCAAACCUGGUUCCAGUUUUUUUUUUUUUUUAAGACAAAAAUAGUUGCAUGGAGUAUCUUAAAGAAUUAAGGCUACUUUAGAUAGCAUUAUUGUUAAUGAAUGAUCAUUAUUGAAAAAAUAAAAAAAUUCAAAAGAAAUUGUGCUUUCAAAUAAUUGUAUUGCUAAUAUAUGUGUCUAUAGAUAUAGUUUAUGUGUGUGUGUGAGAGAGAGAGAGAGACAUUUAAUGUAGUAAAAUUGAAUGAAUAAGUGAAAAGGAAAACAGUCCCAGAAAAGAGAUAGGAGACAACUUUAACGAUAAAAUGACAGGUUUGUAGUGAUUCUUAGAGAAUGAUGUCUGACUUGGAGAUGUCAUAGGAUAAUAUUUUUAAAACUGGAUGGAUCCUAGAAUAGUGUAUCAGUGCUAAGUUGAGAAUCCAGGCUUGAAGAUCAUAAAUGAAUUGACAUAGAAACCAGAAUAUGAAAUUUGAGAGGUUGUAUCUAACAUCCGAUCUUGAAGGCAGUUUAGAAUCAAUGGGACAGGAGCUAGAUGGGAUAUUUUGAAUUAGAAUUUCAAAUUUGGAAGUGGUUUAAGAAGAAAGAAAAUGAGAGAGGCUCAGAGGCAGAGAAGUGAAAUUGCUUAAUUCAGUAGAAUCUAAGCAUGUAGAACAUAAACCUUGGGAGAAUCAGUGAAGAAAAGAAUUGUCAGAAUUGGGAAGACCGCUAGAACAAGUGAUAGAGCAUAGCAUGUCAGGACUAGUAAUGGCCUUAAAAACUUAGUGUCAGAACUGAGGAAACUUAGAACAGAUGUUCUUGAGCUCAUGAUCCUGAUACAAAACCAUUUCAGGGAAGGUGUUUCUUUGCUCGGAGUUCUAACUUAAAUGAGGAUGGUCAGGUAAAAAAAUUAGGUAUAGUUAGUGUAAGAGAUGUAUUAUAUAUUUCAGUACAAGUUAUAUCAACAUAAUGGAGUUUCAAGACUGAAGUGCCAGUCCAAGCUCUGAAUAUCAUAAUUGGAAGUUUACUUAAAGACAAAAUAUGUGAUUAGAGAGUAUGUUCAACACAGAACAUCUGAGCUGGAAGGAAUUUUAAAUCAAUGGUGCCCUCCAACCUAGAAUAUCAAACUCGGGAAAAACUUUAGGACACACGAAGUAAAAGAUGAUCAGUCAGAGAACAGAAAUCAUCUCCAUGAGAUGUGAGCAUAGAAUAUACCAAGCCCGAGAGAAGCGAUAAAUAAGAAAAGGUCAGCUGGGAAGGCAUGUAGGAUAAGUGAUAGCCUCCAGCAAAGUGUGUAGAACAUAGAAUUUCAGAACAAGCUUGCACGAUAACAUCAUGCAGUGCCAGAGUUGGAAAAGUUCUUAAAACAGAUUAGCAAAGUUCAGAUGGUCCUGAGAACAAACAAGAUCAUUGCUGGGAACAAGUUAUAUUUCUCUGCUCAGAGUUACAACUUAUGAAUGAUAGGUCAUCUUAAUUAACGGUGAUAAAGUGUAUAAUUUAUAUAAGCAUAGUUGUGAGCCUGUAAAUUAAUUCUCAUGGGUCCUGCAUCAUACAGUUUAGAAAGGCGAGGUGAACAUAUUAAUCUAGUUCCAACAAAAAGAAAUGAAAAGAAAAAAGUAACAGUAAUCACAUGAGGUUCUUGAAGUGUUAAACACUGUAGAUACCACUUAUUUUUUAAUGAAUGGUUACUAUUGAAAAAAAAUCAAGUACACAAAAUUCAAAAGACAAUUUGUGCUCUCAAAUAAUUACAACCCUAGAAUAUCAAGAGAGAGGGGAUUUUUGGCAUAAAAUGAAAGGACAGGGACAAUCUUUAGAAAACAGAAUGUCUGAUUUUCAAGAGAAUAAAUAUAUUGGAGGUUGAGUAGAACUUAGAAUUUCAGGGCUUGGAUAACAGACUGGGCUCUGGGUAUCAGAAUAGAGAGUAGACUUAAAAGGUAGCAUAUCAGAACUAGGAGAUAAUGUGUCAUAUAAAAGGAAUGGUUUUGGAAACAAUUUAGAAUCAAGAAUGCCUGAGCUGGAUGGGGACAGGGACUAUUGGACUAUCUAAUAGGUGAAGGACUCUACAGAAAAGAACUUUAUGGAUUGUGAGUAAACAGAAUGGCAGACUGGGAGAAAUCAGAUAAUGACAAAGAUGGCAAGGCAGGUAGAAAAAGUGAUAGAACCAGGAAAGACUGUAGAACCUUCAGCAACAUCUCUAGAAAGGGCCUUAAAACCUCAGUAUAUCAGGGCAAGGAGAACUCAUAGAAUAUAGCAGAGCCCAGAUGGUCCCAAGAGCUUUCAGUCAUUUUUUUGCUCUGGAGGAGUUUUAUUUUUGUGUUCAGAGUUCCUAUUUAUGAGAAAGGAUUGUUAAAUUAUUCAUUUAGAUAAUGUGCAGCAUAUCUUAAUGUAAUUUAUAUCGGCACCAUACUGAUACUGUGAUUUUAAAGUCUAGUCAGUGAGAAAUGGUUAAACAUAUUACCUUCUAUGGCUGAAAAUCUGAAAAAAUAAAAAUACCCAGAGAGAAGAGAAAGAUGGAGCUAACAGAGAACAUAGAGAAAGGGCUAGACGAACCAGAAAAGCUUUAGCACCCACAAUUUCAAGACUAGCUUGGGCCUUCAAACCCUGCCAUGACAGAGCUGGGAAAGCUCUUGGAAUAGAAAUUAACAGCUCAGAUGGUCCUGAAAUUAUGCAAGAAUCUUUGCCAGGAACUAACUUUGUUUCUGCCCUCAGAAUUAUAACUUCUGGGCAAUAACAGAUAAAUUUAAACAACAAUAAAAGGAAGUAUAUUUUGGCCAUGAGAUGCAACAUGCAACACAUAUUUCAGUAUAAUUUAUUUGUAUAAUAAUGACUCAGAAUUAAUUCUCAUGUUCUGCCUCACACAGAGAAGAAAAGUGAACAUGCAAGUAUCUGAUCUGAUUCCAAAAGAAAAAAAAAAGUUAAGGAAACAGUAAUUAUCUGCACUGAUUUUUAGUGUUAAAGGCUGUGUAGAGAUCACUGUUAUUGUUAAUGAAUACUCAGUAUGUAUUGAAAGAAUAAAGAACACAUUAUUCAAAGGAAAAACAAUUUAUGCUCUUAAAUAACUUGAAUUUAAAAUAACUAAACCGAAGAAAUCAAUGAAGUGAUAGAGCUCUGAGGAGCUUUAGAAACUGCAAUGUAUGACUUGGGGCUAUCUUCCAAGGUAACAUUUUGGGGGAUGGAUAGAGCUUAAAGUGAAGAAUAUUAGUUAGGAUGGCAGUCCAAAUUGCAUAUCAGAACAGGGAGGUGGGAUAUGAGACUUGAAAAGGCAUGUCUAAUAUAAAAUGGCAAUUUAGAAUCAGUGGGGCAAGAGCUAGCUAGGGCCCUUCAACCUAGAAUAUCAAACUUGGGGAGAGGGAUUUUAAAUCACAGAAAGUAAGAUUAUUAUAAACAGAGUGCAGAGAUUGUUUGAUUCCAUGGUGUCUGAGCACAGAAUAUGUCAGAUCUGGGAGAAGCCAUAGAGAAGAGAACUUCAGAGCAGGCAAGCCGAAGUGGUGAAAGCUAAUUAAAGUCUGUAGAAGUUACUAUCUCAGUAUUAUUUGUGGCCAUAAAUGGUAUCAAAGCUAGGUGGAUUUUAGAACAUGGAUUAUCAAUGCUCAGAUGGUCCUUGUUAGUAGUAGCAAGUUUUGUUUCUAUGUUCAGAGUUUCGACUAUAAGGAAUAACCAGAAAUGUAAACGGCAAUGAUAUUACAUAUUUAGUGUUUAAUAUAUAAUUCAGUAUAAUUUAUGGCAGCACAAUGUUGAUCCUCUGAAUUAAAACUUAAGUACUGCUGAGAAAAGUGAUAAUAUCAUGCUUAAUUAGGUUCCACCCACCCCUCCAAAAAAAGAAAAGGGAAAGUAACUAAAAACAGUAGUUAUAUGCAUUGUCUUGGAAAGGUUAAAACUAUUUUAAAUAUCACUAUUACUAAUAAAUAAAUAUUUGUCUGAAAAAUACAGAGACUUAAAAUGAGAAAGAUUGUGCUAAGUAAUUUCAUUGCUGGCACAUGCAGUUUUAAUAUAGUAAAAAUUAAAUAAAUAAAUGAAAUCAAAAAAGUAAUGCUAGAAUAUCAGAGUCAGGAAGCAACUUUAGUUAUAAAAUGACAGGAUUAGAAAUGCCUUUAGAAAAUAAAAUGUCUGACAUAGAGGUACCUUUUAAGGAAAUGUAUUGGAAAUUAGAGCGUAGAAGAGAGAAUUCCAGUAUUGGGAUGGCAAUCCAGGCUCUAUGUAUGAAAAGUAGCAGUUGAUAUAAAAACUAAACUAUCAAACUUGGGAGGGAGAAAAUUUAGAAUCAAAAGUGCUUAAACCUGAAAUAUCAAAGGUAAGCUUAGAACAAUAGUAAAAAAUAGUCAUGGGAAGAGAAUAGAAAUUGUGAGAUUCCUUGGGAAGUAAGCAUGUCAAGUCUGGAAGAAACUAGAAAAGAAUGUCCAGGUAUAGUGGAUAGAACAAGUGCUGUUAGAGCCAGGGAAGCUCAUAGAACAUACAAGUUUUAAACUAAUAGUUGAAAAACCACAGGGUCCAAGCUAGGAGUGCUACUAGAACACAGAUUCUCCGAACUUGGAUUAUAGGUCCCACAGUAUCAUUGCUGGGAAUAGGUGUUGUUUCUGGGUUCAGUUUCUACUUACGAGGAAAUACAGAUAAAAGUAAAGAAUAAAAAAUUACAGUGUAUGAGGUGCACUAUAUAAUACAGCAUAAUUACAUUAGCAUAAUUAAAAUAAAACAUCUCAUAUCACACAGUUGUAGAAGAAAUUUGCAUAUACAGAGCCUGAUCAAAAUUAUAAGUAAACUGAUGACAAGAAAAAAAUAACUGAUAAAAAGUGAAUUAUGCAGAGUUUUCAAGGGGUAAAGCUGCAGUUCAUAUUACUAUUAUUGUUCAUGAAUGGGCUAUGUUCAUUGGAAAGAAUAAGGUAAGUUUGCAGGAUUCAUAAGGAAAAUAAUUUGUGAUCUUAAAUAUUUGUAUUGUAAUAAACAUGCCAUUGGACAUAAAAAUAAAUGAGGGAAAAAUGCUCUAGUAUAUCAGAGAAACAAAAUAGCUAGGAUGGGAGAAAUUUUAGUGAAUACAAUGUGUGAUUUAGAGGUGCCUUUUAAGGUCAUAUAUUGAAGUGUGGUUAGAAAUUAGAAUGGAGAAUUUCAGGGCUGGGAUGGCAGGCCGGAGAUGACAUGGUAGCCAGAAUACGAGACUUGAGAAGGUGUGUCCGAUAGAGAAUGUCCAAACUUAGACAAUUUAGGCUGCUUAGAAUCAGUAGGGCUUGAGGUUGAUUCCAUUCCAUACAGAAAUAAUAAUAAUAAGUACCUACUAUGUACCAAGCACUCUGUUUAGCAUUAGGGAUACAAAUAAGAAAAAAGAAAAUUAGCUUCCAACCUGGAGAUAAUGGAAGCUGGAAGAUGACAGAACCUAGGGGAAGGCCAGAGGACUACAAGGGGAACAGGCAACAGGAAGAGGCAGGGAAACCUUAUUCCCUGGAGUUGAUACUAAGUAGAACUAAGGUUUGCAAUGUAGAGUGAAUUAUAAUGUCCAGGUCUAGGCUUUUUUAAAGAGUAACUUUGGAUGGGGUUUAGUACUCUACCCUCCAGUCCUCAAGUCAGAAGGGAGGUGAAGAAAAUGGGAAGUGGUCAAGAAAACCGUGAUUGAUUGUUUUUUUUCUUAUGAGGCAAUUGGGGUUAAGUGACUUGCCCCCAGGUCACAUGGCUAGGAAGUGUCUGAGACCAGAUUUGAACUCAAGUCCUCCUGACUUCAGUGCUGGUACUUUAUCCACUGCACCACCUAGCUGCCCCAAGUGAUUUGAUUUUUAUGGGAUGUAAACCUAUAGGAUGGAGGGCCUGGGAGAAGAUAGAACAGAAUGACGGAGUAGGCAGGGCACUUAGGGGAUAUGAACCAGGAAAACCCUGAAAAUUAUAAUUUUAGGAUUAACUUUGGCCAUAACAUCACAGAGUGUCAGAGCUGAGAAAGCCCUUAUAAUGUAGGUUAUAAGAGCUUGGAUGGAUCUGAAGAAUACAUAAUAACAUUGCUGGGAAGGAGUCCUGUUUCUCUGCUCAGAGUUUCAAUUUGGGAGGAGUAGUGACUAAAUUUAUAAAUCUAUCUAUAUAUAUAUAUAUAUACAUAUAUAUAUAUAUAUAUGGCAUGUGAAGGAUGUUUUCAUGCAGUUUGUUUUAUCAAUACAAUGCUAAUGCUCUGAUUUUAAAAGUCAGGUCCUGAGAUACAGCCAAUGAGGAAAGGUAAAAGUAUAUUACCUUAGCUGUGUGAUAAUAAGGAAAAAAAAUAGGCUGAGGGUCAUAAAGUUCCAUGCACUUCCUUACUCUGUUAAGAUUAUUAUUGAAAUUUCUACUACUUGUAAUGAAUGGGGAGUGUUUUAAACAAAAUUGUAAGUAUCCAAUUUUAAUAUGGAUACCAUUUGUGAUAUUGCUGACACUAUAUAUAAUUUAAUAAAAUUGAAUGAGUGAAAAGGGAAAAAAACAAACAUUAAUGGAGUGAUAGGAUUUUAAUUUUUUUAAAAAUAGUCAGCUGUUACGCUCUUUAGAAGAUAUAUUUUACUUGGCGAUACAUUUCAAGAGAAUAUAGAGCCUGGAUAGAACUUAGAAUGGAGGAUUUUUGGAUAGCUAUAGCAGUCUAAACUUAGGAUAUUGGAAAAGUUUUCAAAUAGAAACCAGAAUAUCUGACUUCAGAAGGGAUAGAAAGAACAAAUCAUUUCAACACGUGAGGUACCUUAAAAAACAGAAUGUGGGAGACGUUCUGUGCCUGAGAACAGAAACUGUCUGAUUGAGUCGUGAGCAUGCAGAAUGCAGACCUGGCAGUAGCCAGAGAAAAAAGAAGGGUAGAGCUGGCAAAGAGCUUAGAGGAAGGGCUAGAACAGCCAGGAAAAACCUUAGCACAUACAAGUUCAAAACUAGUUGAUAUCAAACCACACAAUGUCAGAGUUGGGAGGACUCUUACAACAAAUGAGAGCAAUCAGAUGGGCCUGAGAAUACAUAAUAACAUUGCUGAGGCGUUUUGUUUUUGAGCUCAGUUGCAAAGUUAUGGUGAUAGAUGAGUAAUUUUGGAUGAUAUAUAAAGUUUCUUUAGGUUUUGAGAAGCAAGAGUAUUUUGGCAUAAUGGUGAUUCUUGUGGCUAAAACAUGUUUUAUAUCAGUCAUAUGGUGCCUAGUCUAAUUAAAACAAAAAAGAAAGAAAAGAAGGAAAAAACCCGAAAAUUAUGAUUGCACAGUAUCUUAUUGCUGUAGAUAUCACUAUUGUUAAUGAAUACUGUUGAAAAAUAAAGAACACAGAAUUCAAAAGAAAAAUCUAUGCUCUCAAAUGAGAGCAUAUACGUACAUGCAUGUAAUUUGAUACACAUUAUGUACAUAUUUCUAAUUUUAUUUUCCAAAACUGAAGAAAUAAGUAGAAAAAAAAAAACCUUGGAAUCAGAGGAAGUAGGAGACUUUGACUAUAACAUGCCCCAGCUGAGAGAGAACAUCAAUAAUAGUGUCUGACUUGGAGGUACUUUUCAAGAGAAUAUGUUGGAGAUUGGAGAGAGCUCAGAAUAGAAACUUCCAAUGCUGAGACAGCAGUCCUGGCUCUUAGUGUGAAAAGUAAUAGUCAACAUAAAAGCUAGAAUAUCAGACUUGGGAGAGAGUAUAGAACAGAAAUAAAUGAGUUUGGAAGCAAUUCAGAACCAAGAAAGCCUGAGCUGAAUGGAAUUCUGGAAUGACAACAGUGGGAGAGGAUUUAGAACACAGAAAAGGAGAGAACAGAAAUUGUUUGAUUUUGUGUGAUAUGUGAGUCUGGGAAAAGCCAGAGAAAAGAGGCAAGACGUUUAGAAGAAAGGAUAUCAAAACCAGGAAAGUCCUUAUACAAUUUCAAAACUAGUUUGGGCCACACCAUCAGUAUCAGAGCUGAGAGGGCUCCUAGAACAAUGAUGAUGAGAGUUCAAGAACACAUAUCAUGUGCUCAGGGAUUUAUGGGCAAAACAAGUUAAGUUUUAAAAAUUUAUAUAUAGGAUAAAAUACAUCUAUGUGGCAGUAGACUAUCAAUAAGCACAGUGGUGAUCCUUUGAAUUAAAACUCAUGUUCUGAAUCCUACAACCAAAGUGGGCAAAGUGCCUAAUCUGGAUUAACAGAAAAAUGUUGAAAAGUGGGAGGGAAAAUGACAAAAAGUAAGAACAUGGGUUUUUUCCAAGGAUUUCCAUUGUUCCUUAGUGGGGCCUAUUUAGUAGAAAAACUUGGUGAGUAUACAGGAUUUACAGGGAAACAUUUUAUAUUUUUAAAUAAUUGCAUUGCAUAUAUAUGUCAUUCAAUUUAUUAACACACAAAAAAAGUGAAAAGCAAAAACAUUCCCUCAAAUAACACUGGAGUGAGGAAACUUUGACCAUAAAAUGACAGAGCUUGCAAAUAGAUGAGUGCAUAGAUUGCUGACUUGGAGAUGUAUCUCAAGAUAAUAUAUUGGAGAUUGGAGAGCUUAGAAUGGAAGAUUUCUAUACUGGGAUGCCAGUCCAGGCUCAAAAUGUUAGAAAUUGGUUUUUAUUUAAAAAAAAGUAGACUCUCAGUCAUGAGAAAUAUAAGAAUAUUUAAAAUGUAAAAUAUAGAAUGUCUGAACUUGGAUACAAUGUAAGGUCCCUGGGACCCGCAAUAUCAAAGGUGUGGGACUUUAUAACAUGGAAGUUAGAAGAUGUUCCAUGCCUACAAACGAGAAUUGUCAGAGUGAGAUAUUUAUAUGUAGAAGGUAUGCCUAGGAGAAGCUAGAGAAAAGAAAAGGGUAGAACCUGACAGAAAGGUUAAGAUCUAGGAGAACCAAGAAAAGCCUUAGCACAUACACAUUUAGGACUAGCCUAGGCCAUCAAACCACACAGUAUAGAGCUGAGAGGCCUCCUAGAAUACUUUCAGAACUCUGAUGAUCCUGAGAAUACCUUCUCUUGUUUCUCUGCUAAGGGGAUGAAGCAUUAAGUUAAAAAAAAAUUCCAAGUAUAUUUAUGGUAUGAAAUACAACAUAUGUAUCCAUAUACCUAUAUGCACAGUGGUGAUCUAUAAAUAAAAACUCAUCCUGAGUACACAGGCAAAGUAGAACUUUAAAUAUACCAUGCUUAAUCCAGAUGUAAAGGGGAAAAUGGAAAAAAAUAGAACUGACCAAAAACGUAAUUGCAGUGUUUUCAAGUAGUAAGGCUGUUAUUACAUAAUACUAUUAUUGUUCAUGAAUGGAUCAUUAUUUGUUUAUUAAAAGAUUAUAAGGAUACAAGAAUCAGAAAAGAUAUAGUUUAUGAUCUAAGCAUUAACAUACUAAAUGCCAGAUGUUUAUUAGGAAUACAAUACUGAUUAAGUGAAAAGAAAAAAAAAUACUCUAGAAUCCAGAGGAGGGAGGUGCUGUGCAGACCAUAAAAUAACUAGGCUGGGAAACUGUUUAGAAAAUAAAAUGUCUGACUUGGAGAUGCCUUUUGAAAGAAUGUAUUCAAAAUUAGAGCUUAGAAUGGAGAAUGUUGAGGUUAGAAUGGCAGUCCAGGAUCUGAGUAUCAGAACUGGACAUUGACAUAGAAUAUGUCACAAUGUGAGGCUUGAAAAGGUAUGCCCAAUGUAGAAUGUUUGAGUAUGGUGAUAACUUACUGGCUGAAACUGGAUGAAACUUUCUCACUGGGAUCGCCAAACUUGGGCAAGACAUUAGAAUACAGAAAAUGAGGGAUGUUCAGAGCUUGAUAAUAGAAAAGUCUUAUUCUGAGAGAUGUGAGCGCAUAUGAUGGCAGGCCUGGCAGAUGCCAGACAGAAGAGAAUGACAGGGCACUGCGAAGAAGGAAUAUCAGAAGUAGAAACUUUAAAAUUUAGUAAUUUCAGGGCUAGCUGUGAUUAUAAAACUGCAAUGGAGUCUAGUUUCUGCUCAGAGGUCCAAUAUUAUAGAUUUAAAUUUUUAAAAAUAUAUAAGAGGUAUUUAGAGUAUGACAUAUAAUAUAUGCUUCAAUAUAAUUCCUAUUAGUACCAUGCUGAUGUUUUGAUUAAAAAGUCAGAUCCCAAAACAUAGUCACUGAGGAAAACUAAAAUACCCCAGCAGGAUGAAAAAUCUGAAGAAAACAAAAUAUAUGUGUGUGAGAGAGACUGCUGUUAAUAUUUCUGUUAUUGAUAAUGAAUGAGGAGUAGUUUCUUUUUUAAUAAGGAUUUAAGUACACAAUUUUAAUAGGGAUAUCAUUUGCAAUUUAAAAUAAUUAUACUGACAUACAUAAUUUAAUAAAACAAUAGAUAAUUGAAAAGGAAAAAAAUUAAAAGCCCUUGAAUAUUACCAAAAUGAGAAGCCUUUGAAUUUAAAAUAACAUAGCUAAUAAAUGUUUUAGAGAACAAAAUGUAAAUUUUGAGAUCCAUUGCAAGAGAAUAUGCUAGUGGCUGCAGAAUGGUCUAAGCUUAACUUCAUAAAAGUGCGUCUUCAAAAAGAAGCCAGAAUUACAGUGAGGAAGGCAUGUAGAACAAAUAAUAUUGAAGGAGUGAAGGACCUUAAAACCCAAAAUGUAGGAGAUGGUAAGAGAGUGCAAUCUAGUUGUGAGAUGUGAGCCCACAAAAUGUUGGACCUGGGAAGAACCAUGGAGAAGGGAAUGUUAGAACUUUGAGCAAGAGCUGGAAAAUUCAGAAAAGGCCUUAGGACACACUCUUUCAGGACUAGUUUGGGCCAUCCAAACAUACAGUGUCAGAGCUGGGAGGGCUCGUGGAACAAGAAUUAUAAGAGUUGUGAUGAUCCUAGAGAACUCAUAAAAGUAUUGCUAGAGAAAAGUUUUAUUUCUGUGCUCAGAAUUGCAACUUACAGGGAAAGAUAGGAUUUGUAAACAAUAGUAACUAAGGAUAUUUAGAGUUUGACACGAAACUUAUAUUUUAUUAUAACUGAUAUUAACACAAUUGAAAGCCUCUGAAUUAAUUUUCAAGUCCUGUUAUCACAUAGUCAAUAUUAGAGAGUAAAUCUAUUAAUUUGGUUCUCAUAAAAAAAUAGAACUUGAUGCCAAUUUUUAAAAAAGAAAGGAAAAGAAAAAAUAGACUGCACAAUAAUUGCAUUUAGUAUAUGGAAGGGUUUAAGGCUGCUAAAUAUAUCACUACUGUUGUUAAUGAAUGGUCAGUAUUUGCUGAAAAAAUAAAUACACAGAAUUUGAAAGAGAAACAUUUUCUAUUUUCAAAUGAUUAUAUUGCUUAUAUACACUAUGUGUACAUAUACAUUUAUAUACAUAUGUAUGUAGUUUAAUAAAAUUGAAGAAAUAAGUGAAAAGUUUAUAUAUCCUUAAGAAUAUCAGAAGAGGAAGGGGACUUUGACUAUAAAAUUACAUGGAUGAAAGCAUCCUUCCAUAGUAGUGUCUGAUUUGGAGGUGCCUUUCAAGAGAAUAUAUUGCAAGUUGGAUAGCAAUUUCCAGUGCUGGGAAAGUAAACCCUUGCUCUAAGUAUAAAAAGAAGGAAUUGAGGGGCAGCUAAGUGGCGCAGUGGGUAGAGCACCAGCUCUGAAGUCAGGAGGAUCUGAGUUCAAAUCCUAUCUCAGACACUUAAACACUUCCUAGCUGUGUGACUCUGGGCAAGUCAUUUAACCUCAGUUGCCUCAGCCAAAAAAAAAAAGAAGAAGAAGGAAUUGACAUGAAAGCCAAAAUACCAGAUCUAGAUUAUAUAGAACAUAGAAUUGUUGAGGGGGGAAAUACCUUAACAGCAACUGGGGUUCCCAGGCUGGUAUCGCAGGUUAUUGCAGGUUUUGCGAAAAAAAUUGCAGUCCCAGUCUCCAAGCAAGAUUUGGCAAAAAUGGGUUUAUUUUCACUGAGCUCUUUCUCUCAGUGGGCCCCUUUCUGAUUAGGAAAAUAGCAAAGAUUGGGUUACAGAGUUUUGAUUUUAUUUAGCUUUCUAUGGCUCGGGGCUAGGGAACAAUUUGAGGGACUAAUUUCCAAAUCAAUAAGGGUAGUGAUCGUUUCCUAGGCCAAACAGAUUCCCAGAUCAAUUGGAGGUGGGAGUUUCCCCGUGGGAACCAUGUAGGAGGAUGGGAAUCAUUUUAGGAAUUUUCCUAGAGACCUGGAAGGGUUGAGAUUCAGGGUUUUUCUAACCCAGGUCCAUCCCGCAAAGAUCAGGGACACACAGAGUCCUAUUAUGUCAGAAUGACCUUGGAAACAA